GGUAAUGGAUCAGCAGUCCAAAAUAACCAUUGGAGAAUCAACAAGAACCAUAAAAAUAUUAUGGCUCCCCUAAACAUUUAGUUUUACACACAUAAGUGAGACCACAUAUUAUGAAUACAAAUACCAAAAUUGAUUGCUACCUCCAUAAAUGGUGGACAUACAAUAGACAAACUCAGCAGACAAACUUGGGUGCUGCAGUUAGAUACACUUUGUUAGAUCAUAGAGCAGAUUUAAGAGUUUUUAACAACUUUAAGUAUCUAAAAGAGGAGCAACAAAAAUCACCUGAAAUACAUAAUUUUGAAGAGAAAAAAAAAAGGAUAAAAUGACAUCCAAAACUAAAGAGGGCACAGAAUAACACUUAAGCCUUGGUCUCCUCAGCAGCGGUUUCAAAAGUCUCCCCGGGGACAAGAUCUGGUACAGCAUCAUCAUCAUCCUCUUGUGCUGCAGUUGCAUCAGCUCCUGCUUCAGGAGCCUGCUUCUGAAAUUGCUCAGCUAACUUCUUCAGAUUUUCCAAGUUAUCUGGCCCUACAUUUUUCCAACAAAAAAAAAAUAUAUAAGAUUAUAAUACAACUUAGAUAAGAUAUCAAUCACAUACCUAAUUGGUGAAUGAUGUUGGGGAGAAUAUCCUGCAACUCUACAAAAGGGAAAAUUUAUACAAGUGAAAAUGUCAGUCCAGCAUGAAAUCAGAUCAAAAUCAAAAGGAUCACUAAUGUCAAGUCUCACUCGAAAUGAGGAAAACAAUGCAUGGUAUGGUACACUACAAAUUGUACAAAAUUUUGAACAUUUCAAUAUGAUACACAUCAAACAAUGGUGCUUACGAAGUCUAAAAUUUCUGAACAUUGAUGCAAACAAUGGUGCUUACGAAAUCUACAAUUUCUAAACAUUAAUGGAAAGAAAACUGUGGAUAACUCAUUCACAGAUAAUGUUCAAAGAUGUUGACAGUGUUCUAUGUUAGGUGUUGCAGUUUUGUGCGCCACACUAGAGUAAAUAAACAGCAGAAGCCAUGUUUGAUAAUGAAUCAUUAAGCAUAUGAAGAAAAAGAUAUAUAUGCUUACUCUUUGUCUGAGGAGAACCGCUAACAACCCAAGUGUUGGCAGCAAUAGCUGCUUGUACUGUAAACAAUUAAAGUUUAACAGUUAGCUUAAUUAGAUCUUAAAAUAAAAUAUAUACAAUAGUAUUGUGAAUUAAUAUUACCUUUGGGGUAUAGAAACUGAAUAACUACAUCAUCCUUAAAGAUGUUGACUUCCUCAAUGGCAGGGAUACUAUUCACUCCAAUUCUCUUCAGAGUGCUUUAAAGUCUUUUGUCGUCUGUAGUAGCUGUCUUGUGGACAGCCUUCUUCUUUCUAAAAUGGGCAGAAAACAAAACAUUAAUAAAAAUAAACAACUUAGCAUACAAUCUUUCUACCAGGGUAUCAAACCGAAAUAAUACAGGCGCCAUAAAAUACAUGGAUAGCCAAGAUGGUAAGAUUUCAGUUGAUUUCAUAUCAGACACAAAAGUAAAGACUUGUAGUCAAUUUAUGAUUGCUAGUAGCACAUAAAUAGACAGUUAAAAGUACAUUCAACUUGAAAUCCAACACCAUGUUGUCCAAAUGCUGUCCAGUUUUACAAGACACCAUAGAGCUGUCAUGGGGAAUUUUAUUCGGAACCAAAAACACACUGAUGAUUCAUUCCUUUUAAGCUUACCCAGUUCAAGUUUCAAACAAAAGAGGUCAAAUUCAAAAUUUGAGAGAUUAUAACCAUGUUGACUCCACCAAGGAUGACUUACUUCUAUCACAUCGUUUGAGCUUAGGUUACGAGAAUACACAUUAAGGAAGGAUUUCCCAUAUUCAUUAUAAACACACAUGGCAUUUGCAAACACUUUUGGUCUCACUUUUUCUUCAUUUUCUUCAGAUGAUCGAAAUCCUCUACAACCGUACGUUGGAGACCAACAAGAUUUCCAAUUGUAAAAGGCAAUUGGUAUAGGUCAGUCUGAUCUAAAUAAACAUCUUUUAUAUUCUUCAUCACUCCUUGUACUUCUGGGAAGCUCUCAGGACGCGAACAACCUCUAAGAUCUAAAGUCUCCAGAGAUGGCAAGUUAAUGUAGGGAACCAAACUCUCUAGUCGGGUGCAUCCUUGAACACUUAAUAACACAAGCCUGUCAAGAAACCCAACCGAGUCAUGGAUUCUAAUUAAAUUAGUGCAGUAAUCAAGACACAAUGCCCCCAAAUUUGGUACUCUAGAUAAGCUAGGUACUUUAGUUAGGAACUUGCAUCCUUCAAAAUCCAGAAAGUUCAACAUCUGAAACACCUAUAAGAAGUAGAUGCCUCAAAUUGUUAGGAUACAACUGCAAAUAUAUAUUAGUUUGAGGCUUUUAAAAGAAUACAUACCUUGAGUGAUUGGAACCAUUUAAGGUGACUCUUAGACAGGUUAAGUAUUGCAAGAUUCUUGGGAUUAAACUCGUAUGGUAAGAAGGAGGAUGGAUAUCCGCUCCAAUCAAGCACACUCAAACUAUUUGGAAGAAUUUGAGGACCAUUGGAAAAUUGUGCAUUUCGAAUUAUAAGAAUUUUUAAGUUCUUCAUCUGCCCAAAGGCUUUUUCACACCAUUUCACUUUUCUGUCUUUGCGCAAGUCGGCGAUUAUGACUUUCAAUUGUAUCAGUUCCCUUUCAAUUCAAAAUCACAAUUCAAACACAAAUUAAAGGCUGAGAAUUUGUCAUUUACAUAUUUUGUUGUAUAAACGAAUUUCUUAAUCAUAAUGUCCUUAUCUCCUAGUAGUAAUAAAUUUCAUCAAACAUUUAUAGUUUAGCAUGGAAAAUUAACAAUCCUGUAAACUAACUAAUACAUAUUAAUCAAAAUGUUGAAAUAUAAGAAAGCAAACGAGGGGAUACUCUUGCAAUCAUACCUUGUUUUCUUCCAAAACAUGAACAAUGUCUUCACUAAGCCAUAAUCUACUGCACCUUCCAGGCUCCAAUGUCGAUUCCUGCCUCACAAUUUCUCUGCCCAUUUCUUGAAUCAACUCAUGCAUUCUCACACAACCAUUGGUAUCAAUUUUCAUGAGAGAUUUGUCAGUUAGCACUUGUAUGCCAUCUUCCGCAUGAAAACCAUGUAAGUAUAGUAUUUCUUUGACGUAGCUUAUUUCAUAAGAAUUAAAGAAACAAGCGAUGUCUAGAAAAAUUCCCUUCUCAUCUUCUUCCAAAUCAUCAUAGCUAACUUUCAGAAUUUUAUGGAUGUCUUUACGAAGAACUCUUUCGUAUUUAUCUAAUGAGGACUUCCAUACAGCUAAACUUUUUCCAAACAAUUGAGAACCUAUCACCUCCAAAGCCAAGGGAAGACCGUUACAAUAGGAUACUGCACGUUUCAGGUAUGCAGCUAUCCGAACUGAACCAAAGUUAUAAUUCGGUUAACCGUUUUCUUACCUAUGAACCGAACCGAACCAAAACUAAUAUUUUGAACCGAAAUGUAUUUUUUUUCCUUUUGGGAAUUUAAUUGUGUUUUUUUUUUAUCCAAAAUGCAAAAUAUUUUUUUAUUUACUUUUUUUCUAAGAAUAUAAUUUUUUUUAUUAAUAUUAUUAUUACACAACAAAAUAAAAUAAUAAGUUUAAUGCAAAAUAUAUUAAGAAAGAAAAAUUACAGUAUGAAAAUUAUUAUCGAUUAAUUUUUGAAAUUAUUAUCGAUUAAUUUUUGAAAGAUAUGAAGUAAUAAUAAUAUAGAUUGAAUUAAAGUAAUAUAUAAGAUUAAACACGGUAAAAAAAUAUGUAUUAAUAUUUACUUUCGCGGUUCGGUUUAGUUUGUUUCGGAUUUGAAAAAAAUGAUCUGAUCUGAUCCAAGUCAAAAAAAUCAACAUAAGAGCACAUAAAUCACAAGAGCACAUCUUUUGGUAAAUUUCAAAAAAUGCAAUAGAAGUAUAUCUUUUGUAGAGUUGACAUCAACAUAAGAUACAGUUGACAUCAACAUAAGAGCACAUAAAUCAUAAGAGCUUAAUCCUUAAGUAACAAUAAAAUCAACUUCAGUUUGAAGCAUAAAGAUGCCCAAUAAUUCCUUAGUUACUCUCAAUACAUCAUACUUGGAUAAGUUAAUAGAGUCAACAUCCUUCCAAAGAAAACUAUUACAAUGGCAAAACAAAAUAAAGCUAAAUGUUUAUAAUAGCAGAUAUCUUCUCUCAACAAGUAGCUAAUAACUUCAACUUUGAAGUCCAAAUUGAUCUCUGACUUUAUGAAUUAUGUUUGAUCAUUCAUAUGGUAUUGACCCUGCAUAACAAAAAGACAUGAAUUGAAGUGAAUUGAAUUAGAAAGGGAUUCAAAGACAUUUGACAAUAACUAAUACUAUAUAUUAACCAAACAUAUUUAUCUCAAGUGUUACCAUUAUGAUUCAAGUGGAUGGUUUUCAAUUUAUAUCAUCUAAGUGGACUGAUUCUUGAGAUGUAAUCUCUACAAAAAAAAAAAAAAAAAAAAAAAAAAAAAAAAAAGAAUAUAUAUUAAGCAAUGUUGAAAAUAAGAAUCAAAAUGCACAAGAGUAAUAAUAUAGAUAUCAGUAAAUUUACCUUUCUCCAAUCUAUGGAUCUCAUCAAGGUCCUCUUCAGAAAACAAGUGGAUGGCCUUUCCUUUUAACCAGUCUUGCGUGCAAACAAGCGCUUCCAUUAUUUUGGGUGUUAGACAAGUUCAAUAAUCACUAACAACUCUUCCACCAGUGUUGAAUGCCGACUCUGAAGCUACUGUAGAUGCAGGAAUAGCUAACACCUCCUGAGCUAUGCUUGCCAAAAUAGGAUAUCUAGUUAAGUUGGGUUCCCACCAACCUAAGAUGUCAAAAUCAAUUUCUUUCUUGUAAGGCACUCAAGCUUCUUUUAGAUAUUCUUCAAUUUCAUCUUUAGAAUCAGAAACAUGCCCGGUUUCUUGAUUGUAGUGGCACCAAAUAUCAUCGUCAUCCUUCUCAUGCCUGGUUUCUAGUAGACUAGAUUGAGAGUAAUCUGUACCACCAUAUUGAACAUAAAUUUUUCUAAAAUCUGACAUCAAUUUGUCCUUCAGGUGUUUAGCUUUUCCGGUGCUUGCAUAUAGAAGGUCAAUAUAAAAUUCAGCAAAAUGUAGUUUCGCCCGUGGAUCAAGAACAAAAGAAAUCAAUAGCAAGAUAUUUAAGGUGUCUGGAUCUCCCCAAUACUUGUUGAACUUAAUUUUCAUCUUGUUCGCUGUCUCCAUGGUGUACUUAUUUGUACUACUCAUAUGCUUGUUGAUCCCUUUCCUAAUGGCGAACACCUCUGCCAUAUACGAAGCACUUGUCACAUAAUACAAAGAACCAGACAAACAAAUUGUGGAUUUAUAAAACAACUCAAGCAAGGGAAGCACAUAUUCAACAUAGUCCUAAUCUCCAUCUGUUAUUCCAUGUGUUGUUUUUUCUUCCAUUUCUCGACGAAAUGUGACCUCUCGUACGCUUAACUUGUGAAAGGCCUUUCUAUACUUCAAGGCAACCGUCAACAUUGAAUACAUCGAGUUCCAACGAGGGUCAACAUCAAGUACAACAACACCUUUGUAUGGAAUUUUCUCAUCAGAAGCACAUCUCAUAAACUUUUCCAAUCUAGAUGGCGAGGAUUUAACCCAUUUAACAGCAUGACGAAUCUUUGAAAUAGACCCUUGUUUAUCCUCCUUCAAGCCAGAUUUCACAAUAAGGUUUACUACAUGUGUGCAACACCGCAUGUGAACAUAAUCCCCAUUUAGGACGUGAUUGUCCCAAUAACUCAUCAUAUUAUGCAGAUAUCGAAUCAUAACAUCAUUUGCCUUGGCAUUAUCCACCGUUACCGUUAAUAUCUUACCAUACAAGCCCCAAUCCCUCAAAUAAGUGUCAACAUAUUUACCCAACAUGUCUCCCAUGUGACCUAUGAUUUGGCAAAAGUUGAUGAUUUUCUUGUGCAGCUUCAAUUCACGAUCAACAAAAUGAACGGUCAAACUCAUGUAAUUUAAGUUUUGAUUUGAUGUCCAUGUAUCAGUUGUCAAACAAACUCUACCACAAUUCUUCAAGAAUUUUUUCAAUUUUCCCAACUCCUCGUUGUAGAGCGCCCAGAUGUCACGCCUCAAUGUAUAUCGUGAGGGGAUGUCGAAUCGAGGCUGCAAGAUAAUCAACAACUUUCUAAAUUCUUCAUUUUCCACAAAUCGGAAUGGGAGCUCGGCACACACAAAAGUUCUCACUAAUUACGCUCGGCAUGCCUUUUGAUCAAAUUUGGAAAAGCUUGGAGAAGAAACAACUUGACCUUUUUUAACAAUUUUUCUCCUUUUCCUUGAUUGGGUCCCUUGAGUGUCACCAGAGUUAUACUUAGCGCAUCUUCCUAGAUGAUUCCACAUACCACUUGUCCCGCUAAUCACAAUGAGCUGAGGGCAAUAAUUGCAUUUAGCCUUUUUCUUUCCAUUUACCAGUAGACUGUUCAAGUUGGAGGUGUCAAAUGGAGGUGAAACUUGUUCAAGUUGUUGAUCACUGUAUAUCAAGAAAACUACCAGAAUCACUUGUGUCUUAAGAGAAUUUAACUUGAGAUUUUUGUUUUCAAAUCUGUCAUACUAAUUUUCUGCACUAGGGAUAUCACUUCAAUUCAUUGGUUUUGUUCUUCCUCAUGCAUUUAUCGUUGUUCUCAUUAUGGAAAAAACAGGGCACAAGUUUUGCAUGCACAUUGGUUGGCUCUAGAGUCUAGAUAGAAUAUAUUAGUGUAACUGUUAAGAAACAGCAAGUAUGUUGCUAUAGAUCCUUGUCAGUUUAUAAUAAUAGAUUGUGUGAAUAUUUUGUGUGAUGGCUUGGCUUCUUAGCUUGUUUACAUUACUAAGAUAAUCUUCUUUGUCAAUCUUGUCUUAGUAUCAUUGUGCAAAGUCAUGAGUUCUUGUAGUCUUACUCUCAUAUUACUAAGAUAACUUAUAUGGAUUUCUUUUAACAAGGUUCUGGAAUCCAUUUGUAAAUUGAAUUACUAUACUGACAAGAUUCGAUGUCAUGCCACCCGUGUAUCAACUUUUGAUGUCUGUCUUAUUUAAGGCAUUUCUGGAAUCUAACAAGGUGGAUGAUGUGUUACAUUUGUUCAAUGCCAUGCAUUCUGAAGGUUUUAAACCAGAUAAAGAUUGUUUUGCAGAAAUAGUAACUACUCUUUGUGCUGAUGGUAGAAUGGAUGAAGCAGUUAGUGUCUAUAUUGCUAUUGUUGUGAAGCAUCCUGAUAGUGAUUUCCACCUUGAUAAUCACAUCCCUUUUAUGAUAAUGACCUUGUGUGAUGGCUUGGCUUCUUAGCUUGUUUACAUUACUAAGAUAACUUAUAUUCAACUUGUUACUGCUACUACUGCACUGUUGUUGCGAUUCUUCAUUAUUUCGGUCACAUUCUGAUCUGUUGUCCAUUUUCUUGUUACAAAGAUGUCAGAUAAUAUCUUAGACUUCACAGUGCCACAAGAUACAAACCUCAAUGCGUCGAAUGAACUAUAAAAUGAACUUGAAUCUAAUGUUGAACAUGAUGUUCAAUCUACUGGUAAAUGGAAAGAAAAAGGCUAAAUGCAAUUAUUGCCCUAAGCUCAUUGUGAUUAGCAGGACAAGUGGUAUGUGGAAUCAUCUAGGAAGAUGCGCUAAGUAUAACUCUGGUGACACCCAAGGGACCCAAUCAAGGAAAAGGAGAAAAAUCGUUAAAAAGGGUCAAGUUCUUUCUUCUCCAAGCUUUUCCAAAUUUGAUCAAGAGGCAUGCCAAGCGCAAUUAGUGAGAACUUUUGUGUGUGUCGAGCUCCCAUUCCAAUUUGUGGAAAAUGAAGAAUUUAGAAAGUUGUUGAUUAUCUUGCAGCCUCGAUUCAACAUCCCCUCACGAUAUACAUUGAGGCGUGACAUCUGGGCGCUCUACAACGAGGAGUUGGGAAAAUUGAAAAAAUUCUUGAAGAAUUGUGGUAGAGUUGUUUGACAACUGAUACAUGGACAUCAAAUCAAAACUUAAAUUACAUGAGUUUCAUCGUUCAUUUUGUUGAUCGUGAAUUGAAGCUGCACAAGAAAAUCAUCAACUUUUGCCAAAUCAUGGGUCACACGGGAGACAUGUUGGGUAAAUAUGUUGACACUUAUUUGAGGGAUUGGGGGUUGUAUGGUAAGAUAUUAACGAUAACGGUGGAUAAUGCCAAGGCAAAUGAUGUUAUGAUUCGAUAUCUGCAUAACAUGAUGAGUUCUUGGGACAAUCACGUCCUAAAUGGGGAUUAUGUUCACAUGCGGUGUUGCACGCAUGUAUUAAACCUUAUUGUGAAAUCUGGCUUGAAGGAGGAUAAACAAGGGUCUAUUUCAAAGAUUCGUCAUGUUGUUAAAUGGGUUAAAUCCUCGCUAUCUAGAUUGGAAAAGUUCAUGAGAUGUGCUUCUGAUGAGAAAAUUCCAUACAAAGGUGUUGUUGUACUUGAUGUUGACACUCGUUGGAACUCAAUGUAUUCAAUGUUGUCGGUUGCCUUGAAGUAUAGAAAGGCCUUUCACAAGUUAAGCGUACGAGAGGUCACAUUUCGUCGAGAAAUGGAAGAGAAAACAACGCAUGGAAUAACAGAUGGAGAUUGGGACUAUGUUGAAUCUGUGCUUCCCUUGCUUGAGUUGUUUUAUAAAUCCACAAUUCGUUUGUCUGGUUCUUUGUAUGUGACAAGUGCUUCGUAUAUGGCAGAGGUGUUCGCCAUUGGGAAAGGGAUCAACAAGCAUAUGAGUAGUACAAAUAAGUACAUCAUGGAGACAGCGAACAAGAUGAAAAUUAAGUUUAACAAGUAUUGGGGAGAUCCAGACACCUUAAAUAUCUUGCUAUUGAUUGCUUUUGUUCUUGAUCCACGGGCGAAACUGCAUUUUGCUGAAUUUUAUAUUGACCUUCUAUAUGCAAGCGUCGGAAAAGCUAAACAACUGAAGGACAAAUUGAUGUCAGAUUUUAGAAAAAUUUAUGUUCAAUAUGGUGGUACAGAUUACGCUCAAUCUAGUCUACUAGAAACUAGUCAUGAGAAGGAUGACGAUGAUAUUUGGUGCCACUACAGUCAAGAAACCAGGCAUGUUUCUGAUUCUAAAGAUGAAAUUGAAAAAUAUCUAAAAGAAGCUCGAGUGCCUUACAAGAAAGAAAUUGAUUUUGACAUCUUAGGUUGGUGGAAAGCCAACUUAACUAGAUAUCCUAUUUUGGCAAGCAUAGCUCAAGAGAUGUUAGAUAUUCCUGCAUCUACAGUAGCUUCAGAGUCGGCAUUCAGCACUGGUGGAAGGGUUGUUAGUGAUUAUAGAACUUGUCUAACACCCAAAAUAAUGGAAGCGCUUGUUUCCACGCAAGACGGGUUGAAAGGAAAGGCCAUCCCCUUGUUUUCUGAAGAGGACCUUGAUGACAUCCAUAGAUUGGAGAAAGGUAAAUUUACUCGUAUCUAUAUUAUUACUCUUGUGCAUUUUGAUUCUUAUUUUCAACAUUGGUUAAUAUAUAUCUUUUUUUUUUGUAGAGAUUACAUCUCAAGAAUCAGUCCACUUAGAUGAUAUAAAUUGAAAACCAUCCACUUGAAUCAUAAAGGUAACACUUGAGAUAAAUAUGUUUGGUUAAUAUAUAGUAUUAGUUACUGUCAAAUGUCUUGAAUCCCUUUCUAUGUCAAUUCACUUCAAUUCUUGUCUUUUUGUUUUACAAGGCCAAUACCAUAUGAAUGAUCAAACAUAAUUCAUAAAGCCAGAGAUCAAUUUGGACUGCAAAAUUGAAGUUAUUAGCUACUUGUUGAGAGAAGAUGUCUGCUAUUAUAAACAUUUAGCUUUAUUUUGUUUUGCCAUUGUAAUAGUUUUCUUUGGAAGGAUGUUGACUCUAUUAACUUAUGCAAGUAUGAUGUAUUGAGAGUAACUAAGGAAUUAUUGUGCAUUUUUAUGCUUCAAACUGAAGUUGAUUUUAUUGUUACUUAAUGAUUAAGCUUUUAUGGUUUAUGUGCUCUUAUGUUGAUUUUUUUGACUUGGUUCGGAUCAGAUCGUUUUUUUCAAAUCCGAAACAAACUAAACCGAACCUCGAAAGUAAAUAUUAAUACAUAUUUUUUUACCGUGUUUAAUCUUAUAUAUUACAUUAAUUUAAUAUAUAUUAUUAUUACUUCAUAUCUUUCAAAAAUUAAUCGAUAAUAAUUUUCAUUCUGUAAUUUUUAUUUCUUAAUAUAUUUUGCAUUAAACUUAUUAUUUUAUUUUGUUUGUGUAAUAAUAAUAUUACUAAAAAAAAUUAUAUUUUUAAAAAAAAAGUAAAUAAAAAAAUAUUUUGCAUUUUGGAUAUAAAAAACACAAUUAAAUUCACAAAAGGAAAAAAAAAUACAUUUCGGUUCAAAAUAUUGGUUUUGGUUCGGUUUAGUUCAUAGGUAAGAAAACGGUUAACCGAACCAUAACUUUGGUUCAGUUCGUAUACCAGCAUACCUGAAACGGUUCGGUUCAGUUUUUCCGAACCAUUUCAAAAUUUCGGUUCGGUUCGGUUUUUUAGGUUAACCGAACCAUGUCCACCCCUAAUUACCAUAAUAAAAAUUUCCUCUGAAUAAGAUAUAGAAAUUCUCAUCUUAUACCUCUGAAAUAAUACCACUUACGUGAACUUUAUAUGGUCCAGCGACUUCUGCUUCUUCAUCACGAACCAUUCUGGUAACUUGAAUAUCUGAAACAAAUAAAAGGGAUUGGGGUGAGAUAGGAUGUCUCAGUGAGUUCCACCUAUCCUAGGCUAUAGGCAAUUUCAGGGAAAUUAGGAUCGCCAUAUGUUCUAAACUCAACCCAUUUCAGGUUUAUACAGUCUUUAUCAUACAUAACUGAGCGAUCGGGGAUAACUAAGAUCUCUACGAAGAAUACUAUCAUGAUUUUUUUUCAUAAUGUCAUAUUCUUAUUCAUACACAUACUCGUAAUCAUAAUCAUAAUUCUUAGCUAAAAGUUCAUGCCAUUAAUUAUACAUUUUACUAUGUGCAUAUAUCUCUUCGUGGUGGCAACAAUAACUUUUUUUUUUUUUUUUUUGUUACUAUGAGUCGUACCUCAUAGUCUACAUUAUCUCUUCGUUGUAGCAAACUGAGUUUUCGCAUUUGUUACUAUGAGUCGUACCUCAUAGGCUAUAUUAUCUCUUCGUUGUAGCAAACGGAGUUUUCACAUUUGUUACUAUGAGCCGUACCUCAUAGGCUACAUCAUCUCUUCGUUGUAGCAAACGGAGUUUUCACAUUUGUUACUAUGAGCCGUACCUCAUAGGCUACAUUAUCUCUUCGUUGUAGCAAACGGAAUUUUCACAUUUAUUACUAUGAGCCGUACCUCAUAGACUACAUUAUCUCUUCGUUGUAGCAAACGGAGUUUUCAAUUUUAUCUUCGCAUUUGUUUUAUCUUUUUUUUUCUUUCUUUGAGUAUGUUACUCAUUUCAGUUUUUCUUUCAAAUCAUUUCUAUAAGUAUAUACAUCCAUUGUCUUGCUUACUGUUUUAUUUCUAGAACCAAUUCAUAUGAUCAACACUUUCAUAACAUUGAUAUCAUAUAAAGUUUCAUUCGCAUUAUAUCAUAACUUUGCAUAACCAUUAAAACCUCGUUUAUAUUGAGUAAAAGUAAAUAACACAAUUUUAAUGACAUAAUUCAAACUACCCAAAGGGAGAGUUAACUAACUAAAGGAACUUACCUUGGCAUUUUCCUGAAUUCUCUAUACCAUUUAAGUCUCAAAUAAACUCUUGUCAGUUUCAUAAGCGCUUUUCUACUAAACAGUUUAUUGCGGCUUUUUACGUCAGCUUCCAAUUUUCUGCAUUUCAACUCAAAACAAACACUUAUUCAGCCCUUCGAACAUACAUAUUAAGUUCUGGAACUAUUCACACAAUUUAAAUUCACGUUUUAGCUUAUUUCGGAAAAAUCCUGGCCAAACCCGUAGGCUUUGUUUGGGAGUUUGGAGGGGAAGGAAAGGAAAGGCUUUGAGGGGUGCAAAAUAUAAGGAAAUAUAGAGAAAUCUUUCAAAUUUUUUAAAAGAGUAGUUUUUUAGAGAAUGAUAAUUUAAUGCAUAUGAUUACUUUAUUUUUAAUUUUAAAAAUAUUAUAACAACAUAGAUUAAAUUUGAAAAAUUCUUACUAACCCUCCAAAACGCCCCAAAACCCUCCUCCAAUACAGUUUUGUAGUUCCUCCAAAUGAGGAAGAUUUUGUAUUAUGAAGAAAAGUUAACCCCCCAAAACCUUCAUCUCCCAUUUUCCUCUAUUUCUUCCACUUGCUCAUUCCUUUUUUCCCAAGUCUUCCCCUCCAAACUCGCAAACAAAGCCGUAGGCAAUUUUUUCAGCAUAAAAUCCAAACUUCAAACCCGUUUUCUAAAUCCAUUCCUAAUCCGAAACAUACAAAAUUUAUAUCCAAACUGAAGGGAAUUAAGUGUAGAGUCCAAAAAUCCAAUAAUUAUUCAAUUAUGGGUUACACAGCCAGAGAUAUGACCCAAAUACCAUAAAUCUGUCCUUACCAAUUUUAAACUAACAUGCCAAAAUAUUCAGCCGUAAAGUCUUAACCAUCACACUCAGUUUCAACACCACCACUCCAUAAUACAGCAAAAAUAAUUCAUUUCAAGGUUCUCAUAUAACUAUUUUCAUCCAAUUCCAUAGCAAUUUCUGUAAUCCCAAUUUAUCAACUUCUCUAGUUACCAUGAACUCUAAUAACAUACACUUACAAUUACUACAACCUUUAACAAUUUCACAAUUUCUUUAAUCCCAAUUUAGUAAAGAACUCACCUCAUUUGGAAAUACCCUCUUGAUACAAGAUGUCCUAAAGCUCCAAACUCUUACUUUCUUCUAAACUUUCUUCUUCCAACAUGAAGGAUUGUCAAUGAUUUCUCUACAUGUAAGCCAUUCAUCCUUGGAUUUGAGAGAAAAUUGAAAUUGGGGAAAGAAGGGAUUGGUUCUGGUUCGGCCACUGUAGCACUAGAAAGGAAUGAGUUUUGCUUCCUUUAGCUUGAGUGGAAGAAAAAAGAAAGACAUGUAAGCUUGAAAGGAUAAUAGUAAUGGAAGAUUUUUUGGGGUUAGGAGGUGAAGAAAGCCUUCAGCUGAGAAAGAAAAUAAGAGGGAGAGAUAUUUUAAGUUUUGUGAGGGGAAGUGUGUGGAAGAUGUAGAAAAAUCGGUAUUGACCAAUUCUAUGGGUUGAACUGGGAAAAGACUUCUUUGCCCCUUUCACUUACUCUUAGGGAUAUUACAUAUAUGCUGCUUACUAGUAAUGAUCUGUGCUACAUGGCAUGAAUGUGGGAAACAAAAUGAACAGAAAUAGAUGUGUGAAAUUAGGUCAUAUGUCAUCAGGGAAAAAAAGUUCUUCCAAAGAAUAUGCUAUGAUCAAAUAUUAUAGUUUAGCUACUCUGAUCCAUUUUAAUAUACAUAUUGAAAGGAAAGUGGAAUGCAACUAACAUCCAUCCAUCUAUAUCUCUUCUGUUUGUAAACUAAAAACUUACUCAUUUUAAUAUACUCUCUUUGUAAAUUAAAUUUGACUCAUUCUAAUAAUAGAAUUGUGGCUUUGUGGUGUAACACCCUAAUUUUCUAUUUUUAGUUAAUUCAAUGAUAUUUAAUAGGUGGAGUUUUGAUUAAUAUUCUCUUUUGUGGUGGUCAGGGUUCGAAUUCCGAACCAUGCAUAUAUUAUGCAUUGUUCAUACCAACUGAGUUAAGCUCACGAAGACGAUUAAUAUUAUUGUUGAUGUAGUUUGUGCUUGAGUAUUAUUUUGUUGACGAUAAAAUAGAAAUAAUGAUGUGGAGUGGGAGGUGGUUUGAGAAAAUUAAAAGAAAUGAAGAGGAGAGUCCAACAAAAUAAAUAAAGAGUCAUGGGUGUAGAAAGUAAGAUUUUAAUAAGUGAGGAAGGGGGGAAGUAAAAGAGUAUUGCAUAAAAAAGGAAGGCAAUUAUAGAGAAUAGUGAGCCUAGAUAUAAAUAUGAAUAUUAGGGAUUAGAAAUCAGUUUUGCUGAUCAGAGAAAAGGGAGAAGAGAAGCAUAGGGAGAGAAGCGAAACCCUAGUGUAGCAACAUCGGGUCAAACCAAAGGUUUCUAUGGAUUUGAGGUAAGGGAGAGAAUCUAUUCAUCUAUAGGGUUAAUAUUUUGUUGUGGGGCUAUAAAGAGAUUAGAGAGUGAGUGAUGUUAUAAUGGUGAUGAAAUUAUUGAUGUGUUGUUUAAUUCUUAAGAUAUGAUUGUUGUUAUGAUGAAAAAUUCCACUAAAAAAUUAUGAAGAAUGAAUAAAAUUGUUGUUGAAAGAGUAAAACUAAGGGAACCUAGUUUAGAGAUUAGGGUUAAGAAUUUGACCCGAAAGAGUGUAAAAUUGGAUAGGAUAAGAGGGAAUUAAUAACGUCUAAACAGUAGGAUAACCCUAGAGUGAUGUUUAGGGACAAAUUGGGUAAGUUAAGGGUCCAAAAGUAGGAGUUUAGGACAACUUAUGAUUGAUUCUAAGGCCGAAAAAUAUGUUUUUCAGGCAUCUGAAUCGAUUCAAAUUUAUGUAAAUCGUAUCAAUCUUCAUCUGGGGAUUUUGAAUCGAAUCACAUACUCCUUGAAUCAUAUCACAGAAAGUUUUUGGACUUGAUUGAAUCGAUUCAUAUAAAUGUGAAUUGAUUCAUACUUAGAUGUCUGCAUGAAAGUUGUAGAUAUGGAUGUCAGCUUUGAUGUGUCUUUGAAGGGACUCCUUUUAGACUCCUACAACUUGAGUUAUGAUCAAAUUACUGUACAUGGGUCAUAAUGUGUUUUUCAUGGAACUUCGGCACAAUCCUUUCAAUGGACCUCAGACCAUCAUAGAAAAUAAUUGUGAUUUUAAUAAAGGUGUUAACGUGAAAGGUAAAAGUAAGGAUCCCUAGACUAUAUAUCUAAAUGAGGAACUGUGUUUAUGCAUAAAUAGAAGUUAUUACCUUAUGGAAAUGGCGAGUCUAAAACAUGAACUAGUGAUAGUGGCGUAAAACAAUAGAAGAUAGUAACGAUGGAACUAUAUAUGAAGAUAGGAUCCUAAACUUAGUAAGCCUAAAAGAAUAGGGGAAAGACAUUAUGAGGAAUGACGAGUAGAGUGAAAAAUAUCUUAAGAUUGAGAGCGAAGGGUAAGACCUGUCACCAUGACAAAAGAUAUAGAAAAUGGAGAUACAACUAUUGAUGGAUGUGUGUUUUAAACAUGAUGUCGAAAUAUCGAAGAUGUAAACAAUAUGUAUGAUAGGUAGAUAUGAUGUUAAUCGAUGAAUGAGAUGUUAAAGUUAUAAUAUGAUGAGGUAUGAUGAUGAUGAUGAUGAUGAACGACGUAACAGAUGAUGCUUAAGAAAGACUUGAAGGUAAAGUAGAGAGAGUUGUAAGAGGUUAAUUCAUGAACUAAUAAGGAUGAAAAUAAUAGUAAAUUAGAGUAAAGGAUAAAUUUAGCGACGAGUAUAUAUGAAGAGCGAGAACGUAUGAAGGUUGUUAGGUUGAAGAGAAGAAGAGUCAAGGUAGAUGAUACUGAUAAAGAUACGAUGAGGUGUAGGUAACCGAUGAUAAAGGGGAGUGGGUUAAAUAAAGGGAUAAGGUGAGAGAUAUCAGUCGCGGUAAGGAUGAAUGUCGAGCACUCAUGAAUAAUGGGACAAGAUCAUAACGGUGUAAAUAAUGAUGUCGAAUUAGAGAAUUGAUGUUGAUGAUGAGUGGAUAGUUAUGAAAUGUAGACGAAGAUAUAGAGUUGUGUAUGAAGUAAAUGAAUGACGUGAGGGGUAGUAAGAGUUGUGAGUUAGGAUAGGAAUCGAUUAGAAGAGAGAAAGAUGGAUAGGAAAGAGGAUAUGAGAUAUUAGCUAUAAGGUUAGACUAUGAUAAUAACAACUGGUAUCGAGAGAAUAAAACCUUGAAUUAUAAUGAAGUCGUAGUGACGAAAGUUAUUGAAGUUGAAGGUAAUGAUAAGGUGUGAUAAUAAUUUCAAAUUAGAACAAAAUUAAGAUUAGGAGAAUGGUCAAUGUAUAGAUGACGAGGAAUGUGAGAAUGAGAUAAUAAGAUAUAAAGUCGCUUUAAUGAGAAGAAUAAGUUUGAAAGAGUUAAUGACAAUGGUGAGGAAGAACCAAGUUAUAUAGCGAGACAAUGAAUAAGAAAACAUCUUGAGACUAAGAAUGAGGAAUAGGGAAUGAUAUCGGAAAUAAAGUUUAUAUAUAUCCUAGAAUAGAUGAGAAAAUAGAGUAUGUCCAUAAGAUGAAUAAUAAAAUAAAAUAGAGGGAUGUUGACGUCGAAAUGUUGCCCUCCACUCUUUUAUCCCCAAUCUCGAAAGCAAAUUAAACCUAUUCAUUUUAUCUCCCUUAUAUUUAACUCCUAUCGACUUGCAAAUGCCCCACACUUCUUCAACUAUAGCUUUAGCAGUACUGUCGCGUCAUUUUUUGGAGAUCAAGGCUAUUUGAUUAGCUUUUGACUCACUAAUUAUUUCACGACUGAACAUUUAAUUUUAUUAAGAAAAGGGGAAAAAAGUUCAAAUUACCCCUAUUUGAAAAGAUUUAGGGUUCGGGGGUUAGUUACAUAAAGGGAAGGUAUUAGCACCCUCUAUGUCCGUAGUACUCUACGGGAACCUCUUGGUUUUAUUUAAUUUAAUGUGCUAUAACUUGCUUGCUUUUGAAAAAGAAGUUAAUGUGAUGAUUAAAAGAAAAAGAAAGUGAGACCUAAUUUAUCUACAUUUUUUAUUGUUUGGAAGGACAUGGUCCUCUGCCUACGUACCCGUGAAGGAUCAAAACCUCGUAGUUCGGGGUAGAAAACGACGUUUGAUUGGUUUUGUGUUUUUUAUUAGUUUUUGAAAAAAGGUUUAAAAAAUAAAAGCCAAGUGGCAAAUAAGAAUUUGUUUGUGUUUUUUAUUAAAAAAAGAUAACUCGAAGUAUGAUUAAAUUGAUUGAUAUUUGAUUAAGAAAAUAAAAUGAAAAAAAGGACGAUCACUUGAUUUAGGAUCAAGGUUUAUUAUGAAAAAAUGUUUUUUGUGAUUUUUGGUUAUUUGCAUGUUUUUUUUUGUGAUUUUUGGAUAAAUAUAUAAACUAACGGAGCAUAAAGAAUAAAAGCGCGGCUACCCUAAGUUAGAAACGUAAAAUCUAUGACUAUUACAUAAAAAGCCUAUUUACAUUCUAAGGUCUGCAAUAAAAAUUAAAAUGCUAAAAAUAAAUAAACAAAUACGAAAAGGAAUAAGGAAAAAUAAAAAAAAAAUGGUCCAAACACAAGGUGGGGUGCAGUAGUAAAUAGGGGUGUGCAGAAAGCAAAAAAAAAAGAAUUGGGCUUUAAGGAAACGAACCGGGUCGCGGGUCGUGGGUCAUGGGCGACCCGGUUUGGGGGAUAUAUAAGGGUUGUAGGGUUUUUUCUUUCAUUUUUCAUUUUUCUUUCUCUCUCUUAUCCCUCAAAUCCUCUCUUCUCUCUCUACUUCUUUCUUCUUCUCCGGUUGGAGAUGGGGCGGCCGGGAGAAGUCCGGCGCGGUGGCCGGCGAGCCAUCGCGGCUGCGCCGCCGCGCCGGAGCUAAAAAGCUCCUCCUUUUUUUGAUUUUUUUCGCUCUUUCUCUUCUACUUCCCUCCCUCUGUUCACUUCUAGCCUUCAAGUUCCCAAAACCUUUACCCAAACGCCUAGAUCUAAAAAAAAGAAAGAAAUUUAUACCUUUUGUUUAAGAAAUGGAUUCGGCUUUCUUGUGGCCGGUUCUGUGAUGUGAUUGUCGCUGUUGUAACGGUUUGCGCGCCUCUGUGUGUGCGUGUGUGUGUUGUGUUGCGCGCGGCCGUGUUUCCGUUUCUAUGCGUGCUUCUCUGGUUCCUGUUGUGCGAUUUUUGUUUCUUAUGCGCGUCUCUCUGGCUUCUGUUGUGUGUUGUGUUGCGAUGCCGUCCUCUGUUUCUUCGUGUUUUUCUUUGUUGUGCGGGUCUCUAUUUAUAGAGUGAGUUUGAGGCUAGGGUUUGUUACUGAUGAGCAAAAAAAGCAGUGGCUUGUGGAGGAGAAAAAGGGAAACGCGUCUGUUUUAUUGGAUUUGUUUCAGAUGAGGCGUGAAUCCGGAUUUGGAUUAGAACAGCAUAUGCGUGAUGCUGUUAUCUUGAACCUGGACUUUUUGGAUUUUGGACUUUUUGGACUUAAAAAGAAAAAAUAAUUAAAAGGAUAAUAUCUACAUUUUUGGUUUUAAAUAAAAAAGAAAAAUUUUUAAAAUGGGAAUAAAAGAAAUUUAAUCUAACUUGGACUAAAAUUAAAAUUAGAGUUCUAAAUUAAAAGAUGGAAAUAAAUAAUUAAAGACUGAGAGAAGAGGGCCCGAUUCGGAACUUUAUGAGGUAUUUCAAAAUACCUCCCUGCCGAAUUUUUUACUGAGACGUGAGACCGAUCAGGUUUAAAUGGCGUGUGUCAGUGAGAUCUUGGGUCAAAAAUUGGGGUAUGACAGAUGCCCCUAUUUAAGUUUCUUCGUUCAGAGAUUUUGAAGAUGGAAUCUUUGAUUCGAUGAGCCGAAGAGACUUAAAUACAAAAGUGCACCAAUUUUGACCUAAGAUACUAUGAAUGUUCAUGAUUUAAUUAUGAAUGCAUGAUGACAAUGACGGCUCGACUGGAAUGAAAAGACCCUAGGAUACCCAAAUUCUUCGAAGAAAGGGAUCCGACUUCACUGGGGAAUCUGGUUUCACUGGGGAAAAUGGUUGUUCCUCAUUGUCUCGACAUCUUGAAACAAAGCGCAAAUGGUUCAGACUCCAAUGUCCAUUUGUGGACUUGGUUUUGAAAAUGAAAUAAUAGAAGGAUACAAGCUAUUUGUUGGUUGAAAUUGGCCACUUGUUACAGGCUGUUCGUUGGUUGGAACCGGUCGCUGAGCAUAAAGGUAAAAGAUUGACAUGAGUUGUUCGUUUGUUGGAACUAGUUGCUCGGAAGGUAAAAAACAUUGGCAUAGGCUAUUCGUUUGUUGGAAUCGGUCGCUGGGCAUAAAGAUAAAAGAUUGACAUGAGUUGUUCGUUUGUUGGAACUAGUUGCUCGGAAGGUAAAAACAUUGGCAUAGGCUAUUCGUUCGUUGGAAUCGGUCGCUGGGCAUAAAGAUAAAAGAUUGACAUGAGUUGUUCGUUUGUUGGAACUGGUUGCUCGAAAGGAAAAAAAACUGGCAUAGGCUAUUCGUUUGUUGGAAUCGGUCGCUUGAAAAGUUUGGAUUGGUGACAUCUCUAGAACAGCUACGCUGGGGAUGAUACCUGGAGUUUGAAGUUGACAUCGAGAUUAACUAGCGUCGUGACUAGUACGGCUUUCCGCCGGGGAUGACACUUCGAAACUAAAGUUGAAAUUGGCAUUGAUUAGUGACAUGACUUAGCACGGUUUUUCGCCGGGGAUGACACUUCGAAACUAAAGUUGAAAUUGGCAUUGAUUAGUGACAUAACUAGCACGGCUUUACGCCGGGGAUGACACUUUUGAAUUUGAAAUUGAAAUUGACAUUGAUUAGUGACAUAACUAGCACGGCUUUACGCCGGGGAUGACACUUUUGAAUUUGAAAUUUGAAAUGGAAGACGCUCAUUUGUAGAAACUUGCGGCUUGACACAAUGGUAAGCUUUGACUGAUGCAAUUAUGUGUGAAUUGAUGUUAUGCAUAUGUCGUGUACGCAUAAACGUAUGAUUAUGUGAAAAUAUUGGUGAAUGCAUGAUUCUAUGAAUGUAUGGAUAUAUGAAUGUACAUGACACGUGAGUCGAUGAACCGAGACAAGACAGGUAAGAUGGGAGUCGGACCGACAUUGCAUUACAAACACUCGGCAACCUUCCUUGGAGAUGAUAUUAUUGUGAGCAAAUCGAGCCGUUGAUGGUGUAAGAACCUGGCACUAGGUAGCCACCGAUGCCUCCUGGGGGGUGAGCCCAUUGUCGAUGAAAGAAGUCUGGAAGAAGUCGCCAUUUGUAAACCGGCACAGAGUGUCCUUCCAUUGGUAUGCUUCAGCAGUCAUACCUUUUGUUUUAUUAAAAGAAAAUCCCUAAUUUUUGCCUGGACCGCCCUUUCGGGUUUUCAGUCCACCGGGAAUAUUUUUUGUUUUGCCCCUAAUUUUUGCCUGGACCGCCCUUUCGGGUUUUCAGUCCACCGGGACGCCCUCUGUUGCCUAAGUCGCCUUUUCAGGUUUUCAACUUAGCGAGCUUCUUUGUAUUAUUUUUGUAUUUGUUUAUUCAGAGACUUUCCUUAGUGUCGAGCCACGCUUUUAGCAGGAUCUAACCUCUUUUGAGUUGAUAUAUGCCUCUUUUACUCCCGAGUGCCAAGCUGUAUCUAUUUGUUUAUGCUUUUUUUUUUUUUUUUUUUUUUAUAUAAUGUUUUAGAAAUCUGUUUCAAAAUAUUAUCAUCAAUAAAAGAGGGAAAAAAAAAAAUCGAGAAACAAAACAAGUAGGAGUCAAAAGAGAGGUAAAAGCUCAAAGUUUAUUAAUCGAAUGACGCUAUGCCAAUGGCAUGACUUCAUGGAGUUCUUUACAAAGUUUGAAAAGAAAUGGUAAUUUAAAAUGGAAAGGUACGUUGAACUUCAUAACUCUAUCGUUCUCUAACAACUUUGAAAUCCGUUAUCUUGUGGCUCGAAUACUUUUGAUAUCAGGUAUGCCCCAAGUGUAUCUGUGUUCGACUGGAUGCAGUUACUUUGUCUCUCUUUUUUUUUUUUUUUUUUUUUUUUUUUUUUUUUUUAAAUCCUUAAUUUUUGCAUAGACUGCCCUUUCGGGUUUUCACUCUAUCAGGAUAAUGAUCUCUGUUUAUUGUCUCUAAUUUUUGCCUGGACCGCCCUUUUCGGGUUUUCAGUCCACCGAGACGCUCAUUUUUGCCUAAGUCGCCCUUUUCGGGUUUUCGACUUACCGAGCUGUUCUUUUAAAGUUUUUAGACAAAGUAUUUCUUGACUGCAUCCGUGUUCACAGGUCGUGGAAGUUCUUCACCGUCCAUGGUUUGUAGAGUCAUGGCACCACCUGAGAAGGCUCUUUUAACAACAUACGAACCUUCAUAAUUAGGAGCCCACUUGCCUCGGGAGUCUGGUUGGAAAGAGAAAAUCUUUUUGAGCACAAGAUCACCUUCUUUAAACUCACGGGGACGAACUUUCUUGUCAAAGGCCUGUUUCAUUCUUUUCUGAUAUAAUUGUCCGUGACAUAGGGCUGUCAUGCGCUUUUCUUCAAUUAGAUUCAACUGGUCGUAUCUAUUCUGAACCCAUUCAGCUUCUGAUAAGUCAGCCUCCAUUAGAACUCUUAAUGAUGGAAUUUCGACUUCUACAGGAAGUACUGCCUCCAUGCCAUACACCAGGGAGAAGGGAGUUGCCCCUGUUGAAGUGCGUAUAGAAGUACGAUAUCCAUGUAAUGCAAAGGGAAGCAUUUCAUGCCAAUCUUUAUAAGUCACCACCAUCUUCUGGACAAUCCUCUUUAUAUUCUUAUUUGCAGCUUCGACAGCACCAUUCAUUUGGGGUCUGUAAGGUGAAGAGUUAUGGUGCUCGAUCUUGAAAUCAUCACACAAUUCUUUCAUCAUCUUGUUGUUUAGAUUUGUUCCGUUGUCGGUGAUGAUCCGGUUGGGGAUGCCAUAACGACAAAUGAUAUGAUUCUUGAUAAAUUUGACCACUACUUGUUUGGUCACAUUGGCAUACGAUGCGGCCUCAACCCACUUAGUGAAGUAGUCAAUAGCCACUAGGAUAAAACGGUGUCCAUUUGAAGCUUUGGGCUCAAUCCUUCCGAUCAUGUCAAUGCCCCACAUAGAGAAAGGCCACGGAGAGGAAAGCAAAUUGAGUGUAGUUGGCGGCAUAUGAAUCUUGUCGGCGUAUAUCUGACACUUGUGACACUUUCUGGUAUGCUUGUAGCAAUCUGAUUCCAUUGUCAUCCAGUAGUAGCCUGCUCGCAAUAUCUUUUUAGCCAUUGUGUGCCCAUUAGGAUGAAUUCCGAAGGAUCCUUCGUGUAUUUCAUGUAUCAAUAAAUCAGCUUCAUAUUUGUCUACACAUCUGAGCAAGACCGUGUCAAAGUUUCUUUUGUACAAGAUAUCCCCAUUCAUGAAGAAAUUACUAGAUAAUCUUCUGAGAGUCUUCUUAUCUUUGUUGGAUGCUCCAGGAGGAUACUCUCGAGUUUGGAGAAACACCUUAAUAUCAUGAAACCAAGGUUUAUCGUCGAAAACUGCUUCAGCGGCAAACACAUAAGCGGGUCUAUCAAGGAAUUUGACACUGAUUAGUAGCACGUCAUUGUGAUGAUUCACCUUGAUCAUUGAAGACAAAGUAGCCAAGGCAUCAGCCAUCUGAUUCUCAUCCCGAGGGAUAUGAUGUAAUUCCACUUUGUUGAAGAAGGUCAAUAAACGUCUUGCAUAGUCUCGAUAAGGUAUUAGUCCUGCGUGAAGAGUUUCCCAUUUUCCUUUGAUCUGGUUGAUUACAAGAGCUGAAUCUCCAUAUAUUUCGAUGUUCUUGAUUCUUAGAUCAAUGGCUUCUUCAAUACCCAUGAUGCAGGCUUCAUAUUCAGCGAUGUUGUUCGUGCAGUCAAACCGGAGUCUUGCUGUGAAAGGGAUGUGAGCACCCUUAGGAGUAAGGAGUACUGCCCCUAUGCCGUUGCCGUAUACAUUGACAGCCCCAUCAAAUAUUAAACCCCACACUGAAUCUGGAUCAGGUCCUUCUCCGAAUAGUGGCUCGUCACAAUCUUUCAUCUUUAGAUACAUAAUCUCUUCAUCAGGAAAGUCAAACUUGAUAGGUCGAUAGUCUUCAAGUGGUUGGUGAGCUAAGUGAUCAGCAAGAAUACUGCCUUUAAUUGCCUUCUGGGAACGGUACUCGAUAUCAUAUUCAGAUAGUAGCAUCUGCCACCGUGCAAUCCUUCCUGUCAAAGCGGGCUUCUCAAAUAUGUACUUGAUUGGAUCCAUUUUAGAUACCAGCCAAGUAGUGUGAUUAAUCAUAUAAUGACGGAGGCGUUUGGCAGCCCAGGCUAGAGCACAACACGUCUUCUCGAGCAUGGAGUAGCGAGAUUCACAUUCAGUAAACUUCUUGCUUAAAUAAUAAAUGGCGUGCUCUUUUCUUCCGGUUUCAUCUUGUUGUCCGAGCACACAACCCAUGGAAUUUUCUAGCACUGUUAGGUACAUGAUCAAAGGUCUUCCUUCAACUGGAGGGAUGAGAAUCGGUGGUUCUAGCAAGUACUUCUUUAUGCUGUCAAAAGCCUUCUGGCAAUCCUCGGUCCACACAAUACCUUGUUCUUUGCGGAGUAGUUUGAAUAUCGGCCCACAAGUUGCAGUCAUAUGAGAAAUGAACCGGGAGAUGUAAUUUAGUCGUCCAAGAAAACCCCUUACUUCUUUUUCUGUUCUCGGAGCAGGCAUCUCUCUGAUGGCUUUGACUUUGUCAGGAUCUACUUCGAUGCCUUUCUGGCUGACAAUGAAACCUAGAAGCUUUCCGGAUCUAACACCAAAAGUGCAUUUGUUGGGAUUCAGACGAAGUUUGUACUUCCUCAGGCGCUGGAACAUCUUCUGUAGAUACUUGACAUGGUCUUCUUCAGUAAUUGACUUGACUAUCAUAUCAUCCACAUAGACUUCAAUCUCUUUAUGUAUCAUAUCGUGGAAAAGAGUAGUCAUACCCCUCUGAUAAGUAGCUCCGGCAUUGAUUAAACCGAACGGCAUUACUUUGUAACAGAAAGUGCCCCAAGGUGUAAUAAAUGAUGUUUUCUCUCUAUCUUCGGGUGCCAUCUUGAUUUGAUUAUAACCGGAGAAUCCAUCCAUGAAUGAGAAGACUUUAGACUUUGCAGUACUGUCAACCAACACGUCAAUAUGAGGUAAAGGAAAGUCGUCUUUCGGGCUAGCUUUGUUUAAAUCACGGUAGUCAACACACAUUCUGACCUUACCAUCCUUCUUUGGAACAGGCACUAUGUUAGCUAACCACUGGGGGUAAUUUGAUGUGAUGAGGAAACCAGCGUCGAUCUGUUUCUGUACCUCUUCUUUGAUUUUGAGAGCCAUGUCAGGACGUGUUCUUCUCAACUUUUGUUUGACUGGCGGACACUCAGGUUUCAAAGGUAGGUGAUGUACCACAAUAUCAGUGUCUAGACCCGGCAUAUCUUGGUAGGACCAGGCAAACACAUCAACAUAUUCUUUGAGGAGCUCUAUUACUUGCUUUUUAACACUUGUUCCGAGCGAUGCCCCAACCUUGAUUUCUUUCUUGUCUUCUUUGGUGCCCAAGUUAAUCACUUCUAGUUCGUCCCCAUAAGGCUGAAUGGUCUUCCUCUCUUGUUCGAGUAGUCAAGAGAUUUCGUCAGGGAUCUCUUCAUUCUCUUCUUCCUCCGCCUCAUACACAGGGAACUCAAAGUUGGGAGAGAUCAUAGGGUUAUGUUGUUCAACGGGUUCGUCGAUUUCUAAUCUGCACAUGUGAUGGAUGAUUUUUAGAAAGAAGAUACAUGCAGAUUUUUUUGAAAAUUCAUGUUGGGUUUUUUUGUAUUACCACUUUUCAGAAAAGCAUAAAAGAAAAUGAGACAAAACAUCGGGAAAAAAAACGACGUUUUUAUUUUAUUGAUGAUAAUUUCUUGAAACAAAAAGCCCUAGAUAAGCUCACUUUCACUUGGGGCGGGGCGAAAGGAUGUUUUUUUUUUGAAAAGAAAAGCAUAAACUAGACAAAUGCAUUACUUGGACAAGUGAGCAACAAAAGGGACAUCUACAGCAACCCAAUUGUGGCUGGAUACUCCUGGCGUUAUAAAACCUCGUGGCACACUUUCAGGAUCAUCUUCAAUGAUUGCAUGGAUAAAGCCCGAACUGUGGAAAGUGCCCUUCUUUGCUGUGGACAAACUAGUAGAUGGGAAGAAACCCAAACCUUCUCGGUGCUUGUUUUCUGGAAGCUCUAUCAGCUUUCCCCAGCUUGUGGACCCCCCUGCUUGUAUGACCUUCUGAGCAUCUUUCAGAGACGAGAUAGAGGCUUCAUUCCUCUUGGUAUUCUUAUCUUCUAUAGUAAACCCUUGAAAAGGUGUCCCUUCGACAUCGUCUGCCCCAAUGAAAGAGAAAGAUGACAAAUGACUCACCAAUAAAGCCUCUUCACCGUUUACAGUUACUAGCUUCCCAUUCUUCACAAACUUCAGCUUUUGAUGCAGCGUGGAGGUGACAGCCCCUGCCUCGUGAAUCCAGGGUCGACCCAGUAGGCAACUAUACGAAGCUUGAAUGUCCAUGACUUGAAAAUUAACUUGAAAAACUUGUGGCCCAACUGUGAUAGGUAGAACCACCUCACCAAGGACAUCCUUCCUCGAGCCAUCAAAUGCUUUCACCAUUACCCCACUUCGUCUCAAAGGUGCGUCUUGGUAAGCGAGUUGGGUAUAAGUUGUUUUGGACAAUACAUUCAAAGAUGAUCCAGUAUCCACCAGCACUUUUGACAAAGCAUCGGUUUUACAGUUCACAGAUAUAUGCAGCGCCCGAUUAUGGUUCCUUCCUUCUGCUGGGAGCUCUUCAUCACUGAAACUCAAGUUGUUGCAUGCAGUGAUGUUCCCUACUAUUCCGCCAAACUGACCCACCGUUACAUCAUAAUCCACAAAAGCUUGUUCUAAAACCUUCAUUAAUGCAUCUUUAUGGGCCUCAGAAUUUAGUAAUAAAGACAUUAUGGAUAUUUUGGAUGGAGUCUGCAUCAAUUGGUCAACAACCUUGUACUCGCUCUUCUUUAUUAACUUGAGAAUCUCAUCAAACUCUGCACUUGUACCAGCCCCAUUGGGUUGAUCCACUUCUUUGGCGAUACCAGCAUCUUUAGUCCGAACCUCCUUAUUUAUUGUAGCAUCAAUCUUCUUUGGGAACACUAUGGGAACAACGCGCCCAUUUCUCAGAACUCUACUGUCUUCGACAAUAUUAUUCACACUAGAUAGGGGCGGUAUUGGAACCUCACGACCCUCUUCAAUCAUGGUGGCAUUGUAUUUGUAUGGAAUGGCUUUUUCAGAAGCAUAUGGCAGUGGACCCGGUAAGCAGAUCACCAGAGGGGUGAUAGUUGACUUUCGACUGUCAUAAAAUACCUCCAAAGGUCCUUCGGGAGUUAUUACACACACAUCAUCACACUUCCUUUCGACCACAAGCUCUCCUCGGUCUAGAAGCCCUUGAAUAUCAUUUCUUACUUUCUGACAUCCUCCGGAGUUCAUAAGGCAUAUUUCACAGAGAUCAUGAUCAUGCUCAAAAAGGUCGACUUUGCAUAACUUGGCAUGUAACGGGACCAAGGGUGUUCUGAUAUGUUGAACAUUCAGAAUGGGACGAGUCUUUUGACAAUCUUCGAUCAUGUUGACUGUUGCGGCACCAUGAUUCGGCAAUGGGUUUGUUUGGACAUUUGGCGCCGAGUCUGUGAAAGUUAUUUUUCCAUCAUUGAUCAACCUCUGCACUGUGCUUUUAAAGGCAUAACAAGUUUCAAUGUUAUGGCCACGGCCCCCUUCAUGGAAGUCACAAGUUUGGUCAAGUCUAUACCAAGAUGGUAGUUUUUCUGGGAUAGGAGGAGCUGUUCUAGUUUGGACAAGGUUUUUCUUGAGUAAGCCGGGAAGUAAUUCUGCAUAGGUGACUGGUAUUGGGUUAAUCGGCAUUCUUGGUGGUCGCGGUUGUUGUGGGCGUUGUUGAUAAGGUUGUUGUUGGAAAUUUUGUUGAGGGUAUUGUUGGUAUGAGAAUUGUUGGUAUGGUUGUUGUUGGUAUGGUUGUUGUUGGAAAUUUUGUUGUUGGGCAUUUUGUGGUGAAGGAUUUUGUGGGAAUUGAGGAUAUUGUGGUAUUUGAGGAUAUUGUGGUUUUUGAGGAUAUUGUGGUAUUUGAGGAUGGUUAUUUGUUUGUUGAAAAGGGUGAGAGGUGGGUGUGAUGGCAGCAAUGUGUUGAUAGGCUGGAUAAGUUUGUUGAGGCCCUCCAUGAGUCACCAUACCGACUUCUUGUUCUUUCUUCCUCGGGAAAUGGUUCCCGGUCUUCUUGGUCCCACUGGCAGGAGUUGUAUUCUUUACUAAGCGUCCUUCUCGGACUCCUUCUUCUAACUGGACUCCCAUACCAACCAUCUCCGCGAAGCUCUUUGGUGUACUCCCGACCAUCUUUUUGUAAUAAAAAUGAUUCAAAGUUUUUAGGAAGAGCUUGGUCAUCUCUUUCUCCUCAAUUCGUGGGCUGACUUGGGCAGCGGUGUCUCUCCACCGUUGGGCAUACUCUUUGAACGUCUCUUUAUCUCCCUGAGUCAUGGCUUGGAGAUCACUUCGGUCCGGAGUCAUGUCUACAUUGUAACUGUACUGUUCCACAAAAGCUUCACAAAGGUCACGGAAAGUUUGAACCCUUGUUUUGUCUAGGUUUGUGUACCACUUUGAAGCAGGGCCGGUCAAGCUUUCUUGGAAGUAGUAAAUAAGAAUCUGAUCAUCCUGGGCAUACGCAGGCAUCCUUCUCACAUACAUUUUUAGAUGUUCCUCAGGACAAGAACUUCCUUUGUAUUUCUCGAAAUCUGGGAUCUUGAAUUUGUGAGGUACCUGCACACUCGGUACCAAACAGAGAUCGUACGCAGUCUUCCCAAAUUUCCCUUUUUCACGGAGGGCUUUCAUGUCUCGGCGUAGUUCAUCAUACUUUUCUCGUAGGUCGCUUACUUCCUCGUAAGCCUCUACAUUCCCUGAAUGAAAGAUAGGUUCUUCAGUUUGCGGGAUUGUAUGUAUCACAGGUGCUGAGUAGGUCAUGGUGGCUGGAGUGACCCUCAUGGCAGGUAGGGGUACUUGAGCCGUGUACUGGUGAGUGGGCAUCUGAGCUUCACAAGUGAUAGGACGAAAUAUCUCUCCAGCAGUGAAAGGUGGAAACCAAGGCGUGGAACGUUGCGGAGCGGACUGCGUUGGAGUGUCAGCACAUAGUGUCCAAGAAGAAGAUGCCUCGGCCUGAGUUCUGAUAGGAGGAGGAGGUGGAGGUGCUUGUGAUCGGGCCUGCGCUUCUGUUACGGCCUGAGCUUGAGUUUGCGCUUGUGCCAAUGCUUGCGCUUGUGCUUGAAUCUGUGCUUGAGCUUGAGUCUGAGUUUCUGCCAUUGUUUUUAUUAAUUCAGCCAUCUCGUCCAUCCUAGUCUGCAUGACUGUCAAUUCUUCACGAAUUACCCGAUUUUCCUGCUCAAGAUAAUCCAUCUUCUUCUUUACGUUUGCUCGAGUGUAGUGAGUACGGGUUGACUUGUAGAUGAUACGUGGGGCCACCUUUUGAAACGAGUUGACCUUUUUCUUUCUGGAAAAGAAAGUUUGUGUGAGACUUUGACUUGAGACUAUGAAAUGCAGGAUGAUGCAUGAUUUUUAUGCAAAAAUAUAGACGUAUUUUUUUAUCGAAGGACUUAUAGAAAGUAUUUUUGUAAAUAUCAUAGUUGAGAAUUCCAUUGAAUAAUUUGCAUACUACGAGAUAAUUCCCUUUCUAAAUAAAAUAAGAUAAAUAUCUAACUUAAAGCUAAGAAAAAGAAAAACUAGGAACUCUCAAGCUCUUUGAAGUGGACUAUUCAUCGGAAUCUGAAUGUGCAUCCUUGAAGAAUUCCCAACGCUCCCCUGCGCUGAUAAAUUGUGAUAGCCUUGUGCUCUGAGCUCGGAUCUGAACAUUCUUUUUUACUAUUUGUCGUCUCAACUUGUGAACCUCAUGCUCUCGUUGCUCUAUCUCACCACUCAUAGUUUCCAUCUUGAGCAUAGCUUCAUCAUACUUCCUUUUCCAGGUAGCACCCACACAUUCCGAUCGGGCCAACUUCUCUUGACAUUCCUCCACAGUUGCGGGGGCCAAGGGUAAAGCCGGCGCUGGGGUUGUUGAAGAUAGGUACCUCGGCAAAUGAUAUGGUAAGACCAGAUCGGAAGCUCUAUUGAUGACCCAUUGAGUGUAAGACCCCUGUAAAGAGUCUGAUCUCCUCGCCAACUGGCUUCUAUUGAGUGUGCGAAUGGCAUGCCAUGCUUGGACAAAUCUCCCUCUUUUGUUUGAGGGAUCUUCAUGGUUGAAGUAGAAUUCACCCUGUAAGUAGAUGUUAUCUGGCUUAGCUUCCAUUGGACAUCCGAACUGACGUUUGGCAAGGAUAGGAUUGUAGCUGAUUCCUCCUUACGUACCGAGAAGGGGUACAUUUGAGUAUUCUCCACAACUGACAAUGAUGUUCGUGAAGUUACAAGUGGCACGGUACCAGGUUAUGUCGGAUGGGGUAAGGGACAUGAUUCUUUUGGGCCAGGAGAGAUUUUCUGGGUUGGCUUGAAAGGAGUGGGUCUGAGGUAAGUGAGAGGUAAACCAUUUGUAUAGUAAGGGUGCGCAACCAAGGAUAGCUCCGCGACCUACUUGGGUUCGAUCGUGAAUGGAAUGAUAUAUAUCAGCUAACAAUGUGGGGACUGGGUUCUUUGUGAGGAAAAUUUGGAUGGCAUGGAUGUCAACAUAGUUAUCAAUAUUUGGGAAUAAUACUAGGCCAUAGAUGAGUAAAGCUAGGAUAGAAUAGAAGGCCUCAACAUUGUUUGUUUUGGAGAAAUCGGAGGCUUGUUGGUAAAGAAAUUUAGUAGGUAAGCUUGGGAAAUUCCCUUUUAGGGUGAGUUUUUCUUUUAUGAGAGAGGUUUUGAGGUGGAGGGCGUUUGCAAUAGUGGCAGCUUUGGGAAAGGGUUCUAAGCCAGUGAAAGGUACCUUAUCAAGUACGGGUAGGCCAAUUAAGUGAGAGUAUUCUUCGAGGGUAGGCAUAAGCUGGUAGUCGGGAAAGGUGAAACAGUGGUAAGCAGGGUCAUAGAACUGGACCAAGGUCUCCAAGCACCCCUUAUCGAUAUUUGUCCAGAGGACACCAAGCAACUUCCCAUGACGAUCACAAAAAUUCUCCAAGCUAGUUACUUCAAAUGCAAGCUUCUUUAAGUUCUCUAGAUCCAAUUUCCUGAAUGUAAACUUCCUAGUAUUUCUUCUUUCCAUGCCUUUGAUAUUUACAAAAACAAGUAUAAGCCCUUCGAUAUUUUUUGAUGAAAAAAGAUAAAAUUAUGAAUGAAUGCAUGUAUGCAUGAUUAUGCGUAGGUUAAGCUCAUCAUGUUGGAGUUUAAAGGUAAUAACCCCCAUUUGGUAAGGACUAUGGUUUCAUUUGUACCUGUAUUACGGGUUCUAUCCAGUUCCCAAAGUCAUCAACUACCUCCGAAUGUUAUCAGGUUACAAGACUACUCUUGAUCCAAUAAUAUCCGUAGGAAAGUUUCAUUUGAGUGUAGUAUCGCGUAUCAACUAAUUCAAGACUACUCUUGAUUAGCCACCGCACUACGUCCUAAAAAGGCUAAGAUGGGUUAAGGGUAACUAAAGGUCCUCAACUUCGACGGUCACUUGAAAAUAUAAUGCCAACACGACUAUUCAUGCCAACAUAGAUUACUUUCAAGAUUCCUCCAUUGAGUGGGGUUGUACCACAUGAACCUAAACACGAGACUUGACUCUCGGAAAGGCACUUUGGUUAUACCACCGUCCUAUCUUAUGUUUCUCUCAAGCCCGGGUGUAGGGCUUUAUCUCACCACUCAUAUUUAAAAAGAAAGGAAGAAAGAGAGAAGAUAAAGGAUAUAUACAAUUAUUUCCAUCUUUAUUUUUUGUUUUUGUUUUAAGCAAGUUAUAGCACAAAGAAUUAAAUAAAGCCAAGUUAGGCUCAACCCUCUUAGGGGGGGUCCCCAGUGAAGUCGCCAUUUCUGUCGCGUCAUUUUUUGGAGAUCAAGGCUAUUUGAUUAGCUUUUGACUCACUAAUUAUUUCACGACUGAACAUUUAAUUUUAUUAAGAAAAGGGGAAAAAAGUUCAAAUUACCCCUAUUUGAAAAGAUUUAGGGUUCGGGGGUUAGUUACAUAAAGGGAAGGUAUUAGCACCCUCUAUGUCCGUAGUACUCUACGGGAACCUCUUGGUUUUAUUUAAUUUAAUGUGCUAUAACUUGCUUGCUUUUGAAAAAGAAGUUAAUGUGAUGAUUAAAAGAAAAAGAAAGUGAGACCUAAUUUAUCUACAUUUUUUAUUGUUUGGAAGGACAUGGUCCUCUGCCUACGUACCCGUGAAGGAUCAAAACCUCGUAGUUCGGGGUAGAAAACGACGUUUGAUUGGUUUUGUGUUUUUUAUUAGUUUUUGAAAAAAGGUUUAAAAAAUAAAAGCCAAGUGGCAAAUAAGAAUUUGUUUGUGUUUUUUAUUAAAAAAAGAUAACUCGAAGUAUGAUUAAAUUGAUUGAUAUUUGAUUAAGAAAAUAAAAUGAAAAAAAGGACGAUCACUUGAUUUAGGAUCAAGGUUUAUUAUGAAAAAAUGUUUUUUGUGAUUUUUGGUUAUUUGCAUGUUUUUUUUUGUGAUUUUUGGAUAAAUAUAUAAACUAACGGAGCAUAAAGAAUAAAAGCGCGGCUACCCUAAGUUAGAAACGUAAAAUCUAUGACUAUUACAUAAAAAGCCUAUUUACAUUCUAAGGUCUGCAAUAAAAAUUAAAAUGCUAAAAAUAAAUAAACAAAUACGAAAAGGAAUAAGGAAAAAUAAAAAAAAAAUGGUCCAAACACAAGGUGGGGUGCAGUAGUAAAUAGGGGUGUGCAGAAAGCAAAAAAAAAAGAAUUGGGCUUUAAGGAAACGAACCGGGUCGCGGGUCGUGGGUCAUGGGCGACCCGGUUUGGGGGAUAUAUAAGGGUUGUAGGGUUUUUUCUUUCAUUUUUCAUUUUUCUUUCUCUCUCUUAUCCCUCAAAUCCUCUCUUCUCUCUCUACUUCUUUCUUCUUCUCCGGUUGGAGAUGGGGCGGCCGGGAGAAGUCCGGCGCGGUGGCCGGCGAGCCAUCGCGGCUGCGCCGCCGCGCCGGAGCUAAAAAGCUCCUCCUUUUUUUGAUUUUUUUCGCUCUUUCUCUUCUACUUCCCUCCCUCUGUUCACUUCUAGCCUUCAAGUUCCCAAAACCUUUACCCAAACGCCUAGAUCUAAAAAAAAGAAAGAAAUUUAUACCUUUUGUUUAAGAAAUGGAUUCGGCUUUCUUGUGGCCGGUUCUGUGAUGUGAUUGUCGCUGUUGUAACGGUUUGCGCGCCUCUGUGUGUGCGUGUGUGUGUUGUGUUGCGCGCGGCCGUGUUUCCGUUUCUAUGCGUGCUUCUCUGGUUCCUGUUGUGCGAUUUUUGUUUCUUAUGCGCGUCUCUCUGGCUUCUGUUGUGUGUUGUGUUGCGAUGCCGUCCUCUGUUUCUUCGUGUUUUUCUUUGUUGUGCGGGUCUCUAUUUAUAGAGUGAGUUUGAGGCUAGGGUUUGUUACUGAUGAGCAAAAAAAGCAGUGGCUUGUGGAGGAGAAAAAGGGAAACGCGUCUGUUUUAUUGGAUUUGUUUCAGAUGAGGCGUGAAUCCGGAUUUGGAUUAGAACAGCAUAUGCGUGAUGCUGUUAUCUUGAACCUGGACUUUUUGGAUUUUGGACUUUUUGGACUUAAAAAGAAAAAAUAAUUAAAAGGAUAAUAUCUACAUUUUUGGUUUUAAAUAAAAAAGAAAAAUUUUUAAAAUGGGAAUAAAAGAAAUUUAAUCUAACUUGGACUAAAAUUAAAAUUAGAGUUCUAAAUUAAAAGAUGGAAAUAAAUAAUUAAAGACUGAGAGAAGAGGGCCCGAUUCGGAACUUUAUGAGGUAUUUCAAAAUACCUCCCUGCCGAAUUUUUUACUGAGACGUGAGACCGAUCAGGUUUAAAUGGCGUGUGUCAGUGAGAUCUUGGGUCAAAAAUUGGGGUAUGACAAGUACCAUGUAGAAGAACCCAAUUCUCCCAAUCUUUGUUCGUGGAAGAACGUGAAUUGUUUGAAGAUUCAGAAUAAUUCUUUACCUCGACAUGUGAAAAAUGAAAUGAAUUACGAUCCUUCUGCUUCUUAGCAUGAUUCUUUAAUACAUUCAAAACCUCUUUUCUAUCUUUGACUGGCAUCCUUGCUACUCGUUUCAAGUUAUGGACCGGAUGUUUAAGACCUCGCUCGACCUUCCUCUUUCUAACCAGAUACGGUUGUGGAACCUCCUUGGUGUGACCUUUAUUUAAUUUUGAAGAAAAGAUGAUUCCAACAUCACCAUGGGAAAUAUGAGUGAGCCAUUCAAGACUCCACGUCCCCGUAUGUAUUGAACGACACCGAUUCGGCGUACAAGAAUUAGCAUGUGUUGAUUUAUUCUUCACAUUCACUGGCCAACCAUGAGAAGUUUCCUUAGCUGCUUGAAUGGGAUUGGAAACUGGAACAUUAAUCUGAUCCAUCGCCUCAUCCAAGUGUCCGUGAGUAUACACCGCCUCCUCGGACUUCCUGACAUCUAAAACCGGCUUCUGCUCACCAAUAAAAGAAGCAUCUUCAGCUUGAGGAUUUUCCUUAGAACACCAAUCCUUAUGAAGAUCAUUGACUAAAACCUCCAUCUCCCCUAGCACCUCAUCCAAUUCCGGAACAUCAUUAAAAUCAGAUACCGCAUCCUUCCUAGACUCAUCCAUAUCUUCUUAAAAAAUUGUAUCCUCCCCGAGGCAACAACCCCACUCCUCCUCCAAAUUCAAAGUGUAAUUGAGACCUCCACAAGGAUAUCCCUUGACGUAUUCACUACUUCCAAAAGGGGAGUAGAAAUGAGAAUACGUGCAAAAUCAAGCCUCGCCUUAUCCACCGUACAAUUGUCGACCCAAAUAAAUCUGCUACAUUCUGAAACACAUAAUUUGAAAAACGAUUCGUUCCAUGCAUGAAUGGGAGUACCAUACACAAGGAUCCACUCUCCCCCAUUCAUACCGAGCAUCUAACAACGUACAUUUAUGCAAAUAAAAAAAUAGCAUGCUAAAGAAGUCAAUAGCGUCAUUGAACACUUGUAACAUAUCGUCCGUUCCUAAGCAAUGCAAAAACACUUUAUGACCACCCAUAGGCGUAACCACGACGUUGUGGAAACUGGCAUCCUUGACCCGUUGUUGUAAGUCUAACGAAGAAUCCCCCUUCACCAACGUCGCAACUAAACACGCAGAUACCCAAGUAUGAUAGUCAGUAGCUAUUUAAUACACAGGUUUUUGCCGUUGUUCUGGUUGAACAGACUUGCAUUGCAUGGGAACCUCCUCUGUCGCCUUAAGAAACACCUUUCCUUCCACCUCCCUCUGCUCUUGUUCCACUCAUGUGCCAUUAGCCCCACAUGCGUAACCUCUCUCUUGCGGUUUCACCACCAUUGUAACACCCUUACCCUCCUUCUUCUUCUUUGACCUUCUUCUCUUCUUCCCUCCCCCCACCCCAACACUAACCUCCACCUGACCAACACACGCAGUACUGACUCCCUCGCCUUUCCUUCCCUUAUCGCCCUCCCCAGCUACCUCCUUCCCCUUCCUCUCUGUUUUUAUCUCGCUUCUCUUUUUGAUUCAUGUACUUUCUUUUUUUUCUCCCUCACCCCUCACAAUUAUCAUCGGCCUCACCUUCCUCCUAUCCUCCUCAACCCCACUGACAUUGUUAUCAACCAGUGUUUCCAUGUCAAACCUCGCGAAGGAGUACUUCAAAAACAUUUAAUUUAUUUUAAAAAAACAUUUAAUUUAUUUUAAAAAAAAAUUUACAUUGUUUGUAAUUUUAAAAACAAAAGUGAGUCUUCACCUCCCUUCCCUCCUAAACCCUCAAUACAAACACACCCUAAAGAUCAGUUUGGUUCAACGUAGGGGAUGAGAGGGGAUGGAUUUUAAUGGAGGAGGGAGAAAGGGAGGGGACGGAAUAUGAGGUAUUUUAAAUAAAUAUAUGUUUGGUUCGAAAGAAUGGAGAAAUUUUAAUUAAAAAUGUGUUUGAUUCAUAAGAGGAGGGAUUUUAAAAUUAAUUUACUGUUUUACCCUCAAACUUAAUUAAUAUACAAAAAUGUUUGUUUUUACGAUUUCAUAGACCGACAAAAGAUAAAAAAAAAAAAAAAAAAAAAUCAUCUAAUAAUAAAAGUUGUUAAAGGAAUAAUAUAACCUAAGAAUAGUAAAAUUAUUACAAGGAUGAGGAAUACUAGAGUCACACCCUCUAACACACUCCAAUAAAAAUUAGCCACUUCAUCCACUCUUUUAUUUCCUUUACCUAUUAACCUGUUGAACAGGUUGACAAACCCUUCUACUUAUUUUUUUUUAUUUUUUAAUAAUUUCUACAUUCAAAUGUCUCACACGGCGAUCCUGCCAGCCAUCGUCUCUGUCUCAUGCUCUUUUGGUCAUUUUCUCAAACAUCUUUAGUCCCCAUAGUUGAUUCCAAUAAAACUCAUUUGCAAUCCCAUCAAAUUGGAAUCAAAGAUUAAAAAUAUAUAAUGAAAAUAGAAUUAAAAUACAUUAGUUUGAGCUAACUUUUUCAUCACUUAUUUUACCCUUCAUUUAAACUAUUUUCUUUACUAAUUUAUCCUUUAAUAAUAUUAUUUUAAAUUUUAAUUUAAAAAUUAAAUUCUAUUAAAAUAGGAAAUAUCCCACUACGAUAGGGAUUUAUAUUAUAUUUGUUAAAUUAUUGUUGUUAUUGAAAAAGAAAAACAUUGUUUUUUGGGUUUGUUACUAUUCGAAGUCAUAAAUAUUUGUAUCUAUAAGGUAAAUUAAAAUCAAAAUUUCAUAAAAAAUACUAUUCAUAAUUUAGACGAGUUAAGGCAAUAAAAGAGCGGAAAAACAGGAACGUGAGUGUCCAUUUUUCGCUAGUGAUAAUAAAAGUGGUUACAAGGAUAAUAUAAUGAGUAAAUUACACUCUCCUUCCCUGACACAAGCUUGAAUUGCACUCCUCUCCCCUCUUAUGUUAAAAUAUACACUCCCCUCCCCUCUUAUUCAAAACAUAUUAGAAAUUUUUUCACACCCCUCCCCCAAGAGAAGCUUGAAUUACAUUCCCCUCCCCUCUUAUGUUAAUAUCUACACUUUACUCCAUCAAUAUAUUUUUUUUAUUUCUAAUAAUCUAGAAAAAUAAAUAAAAAUCUAACAUACUUCAUAAAAUAAUUGGUUUCAAUUGCUACUUUGUGGUGUCUCAUGGCUUUUAAUUGAUGGCAUACAACACCAUUGGUUUUUUUAAUUGAUUAAUACAACCUUGUUCAGCAACAAAAUAAUUGAUUCACACAACCUUUGUAAUGGCAGAAAACACCAAAUAUGAGAUUAAACAAACAAAUUAACAAGAUGUUAUAGGUUUGUAAUGGCAGAAAUUCACGCAACCUUUUUAAUGGUCAUACACUUGCGUAACAUAAGAUGUCAUAGGUUUAUUGAAAACUAACAAACUUUUUUUUGAGGAAAUGAAAAACUAACAAAUUAUUCACAAGAAAAUAAAGAGAGAACGGAUAAUUGUUGAAAGAAAUAUCGAUAGCUGAGCAAGGAUCAAAAACUUUCAAUAUCUGGAUAUGCAGAAUUGAGAUGAGAAUUACAAUUGUUAAUCAAUUAUUAUGAAUUAAUGACAGCCAUUAACACCCCACCUUAACAAUUAUUAUGAAUUAAUGACAGCCAUUAACACCCCACCUUAACAAUUAUUAUGAAUUAAUCACAACCAUUAAUUAUUUUUAAAAUGAAGAAUCUAGAUUUGGAGUAAGUGUUUAGAGUUACUCUUGGAGUCAAUGAUCUCUUCUCAUAAUAAUAGAAGUUGUUACAAAUAACAUAUUAUUAAUAAAAGUUGUUACAAAGAUAAUAUUAAAAUUUUAAAUUAAUCUAAAAAUAAUUUUGCCAAUGCAAUAAAAUUUUAAAGCAAUCAUUUCUCCUCCUUUCAAAAAAAACUCCAAUUUGAGAGAAAGAAAAAAGUGGGUCUCGAAGGGAUUUUGCUUCUCUCCUCUUCUAAAAAUUGAAUCAAACAUGUUAAAUUAAAAAUAUUAUCUCCCCUCCCCCCAAAACUCUCGAACCAAAUGAAACAAUAAUAUCUACCAAAGCUUGUUUUGUGGGUUCAACUUAGUUGUAUCAUCGUCUUAAAGAAUGGUUGUACACACAAUUUGUGAUAACUUUUUUUUUUUCUUUUUUAUUGAUUAAAAAACAAGAGAGUGAGAAAUAAAUAGAGAAAAUGAAAGAAUUUUUUUUUCAAAAUUUGUCACAAUACAUAAUUGUACCAACUUGAUAAUGAUAUCCCACCUACCAGGCUACCACUAAAAUCAAAGUGAGAGGAGACGACUUUUUUGUUAUUCUUACACUUUCAUUUUGGUAGUUUUAAUUUCUUGAGAAGCAACUAAUGGCAGAUAGUCUGAAGGAAACACUCCUCGCAAUCUCAACUUCUUUAAAGGUGUUGUUAGACAAGCUUGUUGAGGAAAACAUCCGCAGCACGAAGCUUGACGUUUCACUCUUGAAAAAUUUCAAGUCAACGCUGCUGAAACUUCAAGUUAUAGUUAAUUAUGUUGAGAAGAAACGGAUCACCACCACUGUACGGCAUUGGCUGGAUAGGCUGAGGUAUGAUGCCAUAGAAAUUGUCCAUUUGUUUAACGAAAUCAACACUGAGGCUCAUGUGCUGAAUGUUCUUCCUAUUCAUUUCAAACGCUCUUACUUGCGAAAAUUAAUUGAAAAAUUUGAAGGCUGGAGUUCUGGAGAACAGCUAGGUAAAUUAGGUGAAUGGAAUGGAACUCCUCCUUCACUUUCUCUUCUGGUUGAUGAAUCUCCUAUACAACUCGUCUCACUCUCAGCUUCUGUGAAGGUGUUGUUAAACAAGAUUGUUUCUAGUCAGUUCGUCGACAACUUCCACAGCACUAAACUUGAUGUUUCACUCUUGGAAAAGCUUAAGACAAUACUGCUCAGGGUUCAAGCUUUAUAUCAUAGCGAUGAUUUUCUGUGGGUUCAAGCUAAACUUUUUAACGAUGAUUUUAAGACAACACGGUUGGAUUUUCAAGAUGAUGACGUGAUACUUACUGUAUUGCUUUGGCUGGAUAUGUUGAGAAGUGCUGUCUUUGAAGUUGGCUAUUUGUUGGAGGAAAUCAACCCUCAGACAUUGCCUUGCAAAGUGGAAGCAGAGUAUCAAACCCUAACUACUCCUUCUCAGUUUUCUUCUUCUUUCAAAUGCUUUAAUGGAGUGACGAAUUCUAAAUUGCAAAAAUUAAUUGAAAGAUUACAAUUCUUUAGUUCACGAGCACAAGAUCAAUUUAGUGGUUCCAGUUCCAAAAGUGUUUGGCAUCAAACUCCUACAAGUUCUAUUAUGGAUGAUGAAUCUUGUAUUUAUGGAAGAGACAAUGAUAUAAAGAAACUUAAACAUCUUUUGUUGUCUAGUGACGGUGAUGAUGGUAAAAUAGGAAUUAUUUCCAUUGUGGGUAUUGAAGGGAUUGGUAAAACAACCCUUGCUAAGGUUCUUUACAAUGAUCCCGAUGUUAAGGAUAAAUUUGAGUUAAAAGUGUGGUCACAUGUUUCAAAAGACUUUGAUGAUGAUUUGCAUGUUUUGGAAACCAUUCUUGAUAACUUGAAUAUAAACAGAAAUGAAACAAGUGGCGUAAAUAUCAUUUACCCAAAAUAUUUGCUAGUAUUGGAUGGGGUAUGUGAUGCAAGAUCUAUCAAUUGGACAUUAAUGAUGAAUAUCACUAAUGUUGGUGAAACAGGAAGUAGGAUCAUCAUCACAACACAGGAUGAAAAAGUUGCACUAUCAAUACAAACCUUUGCACUACCCAUGCGAACCUUUCUUUCUGUCCACUACUUGACACCUUUGGAAAGUGAAGAUUGCUGGUCUUUACUUGCCGGGCAUGCAUUUGGAGAACAUAACGACCAACGCCAAUCCAAUCUAGAAGAAAUUGGCAGAGAAGUUGCAAAUAAAUGUUAUGGAUCACCAUUUGCUGCAGUAGCACUUGGGGAUAUUCUUCGCACCAAAUUGUCCCCAGAUUACUGGAAUUAUGUGCUACAAAGUGACAUUCGGUUAUUGAUAGAUCAUGAUGUUCGACCUUUUAUACAACUGAACUAUCACUAUCUUUCGACUCUUUUAAAAAACUGCUUUGCAUAUUGUUCAAUUUUUCCGAAGAAGUCCAUCAUAGAAAAAAAUUUGGUAGUUCAGUUGUGGAUUGCAGAAGGCUUAGUAGAAUCGUCCAUAAACCAGGAAAAAGUUGGUGAAGAAUACUUUGAUGUACUAGUGUCAAGGUCAUUGCUGCAUCAACAAUCUAUUGGUAAUGAGGAACAAAACUUUGAAAUGCAUACACUUGUCCAUGAUUUAGCUACAGAGGUUUCAUCUCCACACUGCAUCAAUAUGGGCGAACAUAACUUACAUGAUAUGAUACAUAAGCUAUCAUACAAUACAGGUACAUAUGACUCAUAUGAUAAAUUUGGUCAAUUGUAUGGAUUAAAAGAUCUACGUACCUUUCUAGCAUUACCAUUAGAAGAACGAUUGCCUCGUUGUUUGCUAUCAAACAAGGUAGUACAUGAGUUGCUGCCAACAAUGAAACAAUUGCGUGUGUUGUCUUUGACAAACUACAAAAGCAUCACUGAGGUUCCCAAAUCUAUUGGAAAUUUGUUAUACCUGCGGUACUUAAAUCUUUCUCACACUAAGAUUGAAAAGUUGCCUAGUGAAACAUGCAAGCUUUACAAUCUGCAGUUCUUGUUGUUGUCAGGCUGUAAAAGGCUCACUGAAUUGCCAGAGGACAUGGGAAAAUUGGUUAGUUUGCGCCGUCUUGACAUUAGUGACACUGCAUUGAGGGAGAUGCCCACACAAAUAGCCAAACUAGAAAAUCUUGAAACUUUGUCUGACUUUCUUGUCAGCAAACAUACUGGUGGAUUGAUGGUUGGAGAGCUAGGAAAGUAUCCUCUUCUAAAUGGAAAACUUUCCAUCUCACAACUACAAAAUGUCAAUAACCCUUUUGAAGCAGUUCAAGCCAAUAUGAAGAUGAAAGAACGAAUAGACAAGUUAGUUUUAGAAUGGGCUUGUGGUAGUACUUGUUCAGAUUCACAAAUUCAGAGUGUUGUACUUGAACAUUUGCGACCCUCAACAAAUUUGAAAAGUCUCACCAUCAAAGGCUAUGGGGGAAUCAACUUUCCGAAUUGGUUAGGUGAUUCGUUAUUUACCAACAUGAUGUAUUUAAGGAUCUCGAAUUGUGGUGAUUGUUUAUGGCUUCCACCCCUUGGACAAUUGGGUAAUCUGAAAGAACUCAUUAUUGAAGGGAUGCAAUCCAUACAGAUAAUUGGUACUGAGUUCUAUGGAAGUGAUAGUUCUCCUUCAUUUCAACCAUUUCCCUCCUUGGAGACUCUACAUUUUGAGAAUAUGCAAGAGUGGGAAGAGUGGAACUUGAUUGGAGGUAUGGAUAAGUUUCCUAGUCUAAAAACUUUGUCACUAAGUAAGUGUCCAAAACUGAGAUUAGGAAACAUACCUGACAAAUUUCCUUCUUUAACUGAACCUGAGUUGAGAGAAUGUCCUCUAUCAGUGCAAUCAAUUCCAUCAUUAGAUCAUGUAUUCAGCCAACUGAUGAUGUUCCCCUUGAAUUCUCUGCGACAGUUGACCAUAGACGGGUUUCCAUCUCCGAUGUCUUUCCCAACAGAAGGUCUCCCAAAAACCUUGAAAAUUCUUACAAUCAGUAACUGUGUGAAUCUAGAGUUCCUUCCUCAUGAAUACUUGCACAAGUACACAUCGCUUGAGGAAUUGAAAAUAUCUUAUAGUUGUAAUUCAAUGAUAUCAUUUACUUUGGGUGUUCUCCCGGUCCUCAAGAGUCUGUUUAUUGAAGGUUGUAAGAAUCUGAAGUCGAUAUUAAUUGCGGAAGACGCGUCGCAAAAGAGUCUCUCAUUUCUUAAAAGCAUCAAAAUAUGGAUUGUAAUGAACUGGAGUCAUUUUCCACAGGUGGAUUGCCCACUAUAAACCUUGUUUAUAUUGCAGUGUGGAAGUGUGAAAAGCUUAGUUCACUACCUGAAGCAAUGAGCUCUCUAACUGGCCUUCAAGAAAUGGAAAUUGAUAAUCUUCCGAAUCUUCAAUCUUUUGUCAUAGAUGAUUUGCCUAUCAGUUUACAGGAACUGACUGUUGGUUCUGUUGGAGGGAUUAUUUGGAAGAAUGAGCCAACUUGGGAACAUCUCCCCUAUCUUUCAGUGUUGCGAAUCAACAGUAAUGAUACGGUGAACAAGCUGAUGGUUCCAUUGCUACCGGUAUCGCUUGUGAGACUAUGCAUUUGUGGUCUUAAUGGUACAAGAAUUGAUGGGAAGUGGCUUCAACAUCUGACUUCUCUCCAAAACCUUGAGAUUGUUAACGCUCCCAAACUAAAGUCAUUGCCAAAAAAAGGAUUGCCUUCCUCUCUUUCAGUACUAAGUAUGACUCACUGUCCGUUACUGGAUGCAAGUUUGCGGAGGAAGCAAGGGAAAGAGUGGCGUAAGAUUGCUCACAUUCCGUCUAUAAUUAUCAACGAUGAAAUAAUCACAUGAUUUUCAUGUUCGGGUGAGUCUCCAUAGUACUUCUUUUUUGUUUCUUCCAUUACCUUCCAUAAUUAAUAUUGUUCAUUUCAAUAAUAACAUCAAAUUACAGUAUUACAACACAAACACUAACUCUUUUUUAAGAAUUAUAUCUGUGUCACUCCUGCUUCUGCCCAACCUUGAUGUUAGGAGAAGUCAUUAUAACUUGGUUUGCAUCCACGACCUGCAACCAAGUCCAGCUAAUGUUUUACUGAUAUGUAUGUACUAUUUUUGUCUAGUUGAAUUUAUAAAUAACUGAAUGGUACUAUUAGGAAUAAUUUGGCAUAAUCUAUAUUAAUACUGCAUGUAUUUUUAAAACUGAAAGCAUAUUCCCAACAAUUGUAUGAUCGAGAGCCUAAACUUUGGUCCUAGGUUUUGGAAUUCACCAUUGCAUGCACCCUUUGUCGGUCAUGUUUCUCUUUCUAUAAACCAUUAUAUUUUCAAACAAUCAACAGAAUGAAGUUUAUUAGCUUUGAAUUUCCGAACUUACAGUCCAAGGAAAACUCAUUACUGAAACCAUUAAACAACAAUUCUAUUUUAAUAGCCUAUUUGACAUACAACGGCAAUUGUUGUUGAAUAGUGCACUUGUUGACCAUAAACUUUUGUCAAUAGAUAAAUUAUAAUUUAGUGAAAGAAAAUGAACAAAACAGAACUUCAGUCCAAACAGGACUUCUUAUGAGGAUUCCUUAUGAUCCUUUUACUUAAGUGUUAUAUUACUUCCUUAUUAUUCAUGUCACAAACAGAACUUAUGUGUUGUUAAUCAAACAUUACGUUUCAGUAGAACAUGAUGUAGUCUUUAGUUCUGUUAAAUAUUCUGGUGUGUUGUUUAACAGAUUCAAGAGAAACAUUUUCUACUUCUUCGGUUUAUUGAAAAUAUGUGUUGUUUUGGCAUGUCUUAUGUUGGGAAAGAGCAUGUAAAAGAUCCUGCACAAAAAUUUAUAGGUAAAAUACUGCUGACCAUCAAAAUUAACUUGGUGGUAUUUUCUGGCCUUUUUUGCAGUAUGAAUCUCCUCCAUGGCAUCACCAAAACGAAGUGCAACUUUUUUUAUAAAGUUUUAACUACAUUUUCAAUUUUACUCAUUUUACAUGUAUGGUCUUAACUCAUAACUAUGAAAAGCAUCCCAAUAUUUUAUUAUAUGUUAUUUUUGCAUAUACAAAAUUACUUAUUCAUGUUAUGCAUCAGUGUUGAUCAUGAUAUGAUCGAUCCAGUUGGCCAGGCUUGACAUGUUCUAGUUUUCCUUGUUCAAAUUUACUUAGGUUUUUAUUAUUAGUGCCUAAAAUAUCGUCCACGCAUAAUUUUAUUUGCUUCUAGUUGGUUAGUGCAUUAGUCUAUUAAAAAUUGAACAACAUCAAACUUGACAUGGAAUCUGUAUUUAUUGUUUCUGUGCUAGGUCUGUGCUUGUUCAACUGAAGUUCGAGGUAUAUCCAAGCCUUCACAGAGAGAGAUCAUCUACAAUAGCCAUGGAAAAUUGAUCUUCGCAUUGAUUUCACAUGAACCAUGCCAGCAAGAGUUUAGUUGAGUAUAGCAACUAUCUACCCAGUUCUGUUAGAGACAUUGCAGAACCAUUUUCUUUUCAUUGCUUUCGAAAAUACACUGAAAUUUGAACCAUUUGCUUGAUCUGUAAAGAUGACCUGAGUUUAAUUAGUAACAAUAAAUCCCAAUAAAGUCAUUGCUAAGUGGCUCAAAAACAGAAUGAAUGAAAUGGCUUGAAUAGGUGAGUUUAUUAAUGCAGUUCCUAUUUCUAUAUAUGCAGAAAACUGAACAAAAUGAAAAUUAUUGAUUUGUGUAACUAGGCACUUCUAUUAGAUGAUUUAUUUACACGUGGUUUUGAAGAAUUCAGCAUAAAAGAAAUGAUUUGUGGCUUAUGUUAGUCCAAUGAAAAACACUCCAGUGAAGAUUUAUAGGCAUCAUAUUCGACACCUCAAUUAGUUGAUCAUCCUCUCAAAUAAAAAAACAUCUCUUGAAAUCUUUUGCCAUUUGAAUUUUGAACCAUUGACGAAAUUUGUCGUUAACUGUAACACCCAUGUCUAAGUAGUGUUUUGGUGGUGUGGAGUCAAAGAAAUGGAACUAUAAAUAUACAAACAGAUUGGGAUCAAUUGACAUGUUUUAUAAGACUGAGUUCUCCCAUCAAGAAACGGUAUCCAUAAUACACCACACAAAAAAAAAGGUACUGCAUUAUAGAAUUGUCAAUUGCUACUAAAUCAUCUAAUUGUCAAUUGCUAGUGGUAUGGGAUACUUGAAAGCAAGUUUAAAUCUGACAUGUUUUAUAAGACUGAGUGGCACUUUUUCUCACAUCAAAAAACGGUAUCCAUAAUUCCAAUAAUGUAGGAAUGACACUAAGGUGGACUGAUUUUGAGAAGUUGCAUUUUUGGACUAUGGAGGAGGUAGGUGUUCGAGACUCUAGAAGUUCGUACAGUUUAUCUAGUUGCUCCUUGGUGAAUGGAAAUGCAUUUGAGGAAGACCGUGACUCUUGAUCAGAAGUAGUUUGGAGUGCAUGACCUUUGGUUGAUGAGUUGAAAAUUGUCUUACCCAUCAUCACCCUUUUCACGUGUCUCUUCUCUUCCGAGCUUAGUUCUAUUCAUCCCCUUCAUUUUUCGAUCCGAUAAACUCAAAAAAUAGCAAGCUACAAUUCGAAGGUUUUUUUUCUUUGGCGAUGGUCAGUACGCGCGUGAACAGUACCUCCGAGUGAAUAGUGCGUGCGUGAAUAAUGUCAGAGAGGUGAACAGUUUUCGCUGGAUAAAAAACGGAAUAACACAAAAAACCGUAGUGACAGCGGCUAGGGUUUAUGCGGAAGCAAGGCCUCCAAAAUCAGGGCACUGAUGCAAUGAAAGAAACAAUAUGGGUGAUAAUGUGAGAGACCCUUUGUUUCAAAUAAGCUGUAAUCAUCCUCUUUGUUUUCUAAGUAGACGUAUAUGAGAGACCACUUUAGAAACAUCUUAGUGGUUAAGUCCUGGUAGGCCAUUCCUCUCUUAGAAUCACAUAUAGCAUGAGAUGUUGCAUCUCACAUAAAAUCUCCACAUAGUGCCACUCAUUCUCUGAAAAUACACCCUCCACUUUGCAUUGUAGAUCACAACAAAGCAGUUGGUUGGUCUUCUUUCUGGUAUAAAAUAUGUAUUCACAUGAAGAAAUAAGUUGCUCAGUGCCAUUGAUGAGUAUAUUCAACUUAAAAUCCAAUACCAUGUUUUCCAAAUGCUUCCCAGGUUCUACAAAACACCAUAGAAAUCUCUAGAUUCUAAGAAUAUCUAAGAAAAAUCUCUAGAUUCUUUUAAAUCAAAAUCUAUUUUUUUUUAAAACUGAAACAAACACACUCAUAGUUUCGUUAUGAAAAUGAACAUUUCUUGACCCAAAGACAUUUUUUUUUUUUAACAAGCAACCCAAGGACAUUAAAUUAAAAUCAAAUGUCAUUGUACUCGAUCCUUAAAUAUUAAGCAUUGUUUGUUCAGUUAAUAGUUCUCUUCUUCAUCAAAAUUUGAAAAGUCUCUUAAUUUAUUUAACACAUGGUUCAAAUCAGUUGAAUUUAGAAGUGUUUAAAUUAAAAAGAGAAACAAAAAUAUGAAUCAAAUAGCAAUGAAAUCGAGGGGGUGGUUCCACAACAUUUCUAAUUUCCGUUUCUUGAAUUUCAUUUUUCAAUCGCAUUUGAUUUCUAUUCGAUUAAUGAAAUCGAUUUAAUUAUUUGUUAGGUUAUAUAUUGAUCUAUUCAUGCCUUUCUCUCUCAAAUUUUCAUUGUGUACUUACUCUCUUUCACUCUAUUGUAUUUGACCAAUGAGAAGAGGGAAGAUUGUCCCUAAAAUUAUCGCAAAAUGGUAGUACAAAUAUAUUACUCAAUUUUAAACCUUAUAUAUCUAGUUCAUUCAUCUAAAGAAAGUACUACUUCACUCAAUAUUAACACCCAAGUAUUGAAAAACUUGAAGACAGAAAAUUUUAACACACCUGUAUUUGCAUCUCAUCUGCAAAACUGGAGCAAUCCUUCCAACAAAGCAUACAGAUAUGACUGAAAUGUCAGAUGGUAAUGCCUCAGCAUUUCAACAUAACCAUGGAUAAUCGACAAGAACAAGAACCAUAAAAUGUUAUGGCCACGUUGUUAAUUCCCCUAAACAUUUAGUUUUACACACAUAGUAAGUGAAACCAUAUAUCAUGAAUACAAAUACCAAAAUUGAUUGCUACCUCCAAUAAUGAUGGACAUACAAUAGACAAACUCAGGAGACAAACUUAGAUGCUGUCAGUUAGAUACACUUGGUUAGACCAUAGUGCAGAUUUAAGAGUUUUUAACAACUUUAAGUAUCUAAAAGAGGAGCAACAAAAAUCACCUGAAAUACAUAAUUUUGGAGAUAAAAAAAAAGAGGGGAAAAAAUGACAUCCAAAACUAAAUAUGGCACAGAAAAACUUUUAAGCCUUCGUCUCCUCAGCAGCGGUUUCAAAAGUCUCCCCGGGGACAAGAUCUGGUACAGCAUCAUCAUCAUCCUCUUGUGCUGCGGUUGCAUCAGCUCCUGCUUCAGGAGCCUGCUUCUGAAAUUGCUCUGCUAGCUUCUUCUGAUUUUCCAAGUUAUCUGGCCCUGCAUUUUCCAGAAAAUAAGAAUAUAAGAUUAUAAAUAAAUUAACACAAAAUAUAAUCUAGAUUUGAUAAGAUGUAAGUCACAUACCUAGUUGGUGAAUGAUGUUGGGGAGAAUAUCCUGCAACUCUGCGAAAGGGAAAGUUUAUUUAAGUGAAAUGUCAGUCCAGCAUGAAAUCAGAUCAAAAUCGAAUGGAACACUAAUGUCAGGUCUCACACUCGAAAUGAGGAAAACAAUGCAUGGUAUGGUACACUGCAAAUUGUACACAUUAAACAAUGAUUCUUAUGAAGCCUACAAUUUCUGAACAUUGAUGCAGACAAAGCUUUUGAUGACUCAUUCACGCAUAAUGUUCAAAGAUGUUAACAGUGUUCUAUGAUAGAUGUUGCAGUUUCGUGUACCACACUAGGAUAUGAAGAAUAAGAUAUAUAUGCUUACUCUUUGUUUGAGGAGAACUGCUAACAACCCAAGUAUUGGCAGCAAUAGAUGCUUGUACUGCAACCAAUUCAAGUUCAACGGUUAGUUUUACUUAGAUCUUAAAAUAAAAUAUAUAAAUAAGUAUCGUGAAUUAAUAUUACCUUUGGCAGGGAUACCAUUCACUCCAAUUCUCUUCAGAGUGCUUUGAAGCCUUUUGUCGUCUGUAGUAGCUGUCUUGUGGACAGCCUUCUUCCUAAAAUGAACAGAAAACAAAAACAUCAACAGAAAAAGAAAAAAAAAAUUAACUGAUACAAUCUUCCUAUCAGACAGAAAUGAUACAUGCACCUCCCUCCCUCAAAUUAAAAAUAAUUAUUUAUACCACUAAAGAAGUCAAUGACUAACACCUCAAAUUAUAUAGCAUGUUCUGAAGAUGCCAGUCAUACUCAUAUGUAAAUGUCUUGUCACAUUCCUAUAGCCAAUACAAGAAAGUUUUUUCCACAUAAGUUUCAAUAGCCAAUGCAAGAACAGUUCUUUCCAAACAAAGACAAUGAGCGUCUGGCAAUUUCAUGUUUGUGUACUAAAAAAUGCCAUCUCCAUUGAGACAAUUUAAUAUUAUUUGCCGUACACACUUGUCUACAUGACGAGAAAUUUAGCUUCACGAUUAUUAAGACGCAAGGUCAACAUUGGUGAAUGUGGAAUCACGAACCGUAGGAUUUUGAGUAUUAUUUGCUGCUUUUGAAUAUGCUGCUCAGUUGAAAAUGAAGAAUCGCAAUUGUUAAAAAACCUGAAAGCAACCUUUUCAUUUUCCGGGUAGACAUAUAUGAGAGUCCAUUGUAGAAUCCUUUUAUUGGUCCAGUCCUGGUAGGCCGUGACUAUCUUAGAAUCACAAGGCAUUAGGUGUUCCAUCUCACAUGAAAUCUCCACCUGGUUCCACUCAUUCUCAGAAAAUGCACCCUCCACUUUGGAUUGUAGUUCACAGCAAAGGAUUUGGUCCAUCUUAUUGCAUGUAUAAAAUAUGUAUUUACAUGAAGAAGUGAGUUUAUUAGUGCCAUUGAUGAGUAGAUUCAAUUUGAAAUCUAACACCAUGUUAUCAAAAUGUUUUUCAGGUUCUGCAAAACACCAUAGACCUACCCUGGGAAAAUUUUUUUUGAACCAAAAACACACUGAUGAUUCAUUGCUUCUGAGCUUAUCCACAUUUACUAUCCUAUGUGAAAUCCCAUAGUGAAACCUUUCUAAAUUUGCUGGAUCAAACAAACUUUGGCUCCACUGAGGACUACAUAUUUCUAUCACAUCGUUGGAGAAUAUAUUACGAGAAUACACAUUAAGGAAGCACUUCCUAUUUUCAUUGUAAACACACAUGGCAUUUGUAAACACUUUUGGACUCACUUUUUCUUCGUCUUCAGAUGAUCGAAAUCCUCUACAACCAUAAGAUGUUAUUAUCUCAAAUUUGGGCAAUAUGUAGCUUGGUAGCAUAAUCAUCCCUUGGCAUCCCCUCAAGAACAAACGUCGGAGCCCAAUCAGAUUCCCAAUUGUAAAAGGCAAUUGUUUUAGGGCAGUCUGGUCUAAAUAAACAUCUUUUAUAUUCUCCAUCACUCCUACUACUUCUGGGAAGCUCUCAAGACGCGAGCAACCUCUAAGAUCUAAAGUCUCUAAAGAUGGCAAGUUGAUGUAGGGAACCAAUAUUUCUAGUUGGGUGCAUCCUUGAGCACUUAAUAACACAAGCCUCUCAAGAAACCCAACCGAGUCAUGGAUUUUAUUUAAAUUAGUGCAGUAAUCAAGACAUAGUGCCCCCAAAUUUGGUACUCUAGAUAAGCUAGGCAUUUCAGUUAGGAGUUUGCAGCCUUCAAAAUCCAGAAAGCUCAACGUCUCAAACACCUACACAAAAAUAAAAAAUAAAAAUAUACAGAUGCGUCAAAUUUUUAAGGUUUCAACUGGACAUAAACACUAGUUCAGAUAUAAUUUCUUGUGUGAAAAGAAUACAUGCCUUGAGUGAUUCGAACCAUUUAAGGCAACUUUCAGGCAGAUUAAGUAUGACAAGAUUCUUAGGAUAAAAAUCAGAUGGCAAAGAGGAUAAUUGAUAUCCACUCCAAUCAAGCACUGACAAACUAUUUGGAAGAAUUUGAGGACCUCUGGAAAAUCCUGCGUUUCUAAUGAUAAGAAUUCUCAAGUUCUUCAUCUGCCCGAAGGCUUUUCCACACCAUUUCACUUUUCUGCCUUUGCGCAAAUCGGCGAUUAUGACUUCAAUUGUAUCAGUUCCCUUUCAAUUCCAAAUCACAAUUCGAACACAAAUUAAAGGUUUAGAAUCUUUCAUAUAUAUAUAUAUAUAUAUAUAUAUAUAUAUAUAUAUAUAUAUAUAUAUUUUGUUCUAUACAAAAAUCUCUAAAUCGUAAUGUCCUUUUCUGCUAGUGGUGAAAAAAUUCAUCAAUCAUUUGUAAUUGAGCAUGGAAAACUAACAGUCCUGUAAACAAACUAAAUACAUCUUAAAGAAAUGUAUACAUAUAACAAAAAAGGGGGGUAUUCUAAUUUUCAUACCUUGUUUUCUUCCAAAACACGAACAAUGUCAUCACUAAACCACAAUCUACUGCGUCUUCCAGGCUCCGACGUUGAUUCCCGCCUCACGAUUUCUCUGCCCAUGCCUUGAAUCAAGUCAUGCAUUCUCACACAACCAUUGAUGUCAAUUUUCAUGAGAGAUUUAUCAAUUAGCACUUGUAUACCAUCUUCCGCUUGAAAACCAUGCAAGUAUAGCAAUUCUUUGACGUAGCUUAUUUCAUAAGAAUUGAAGAAACACGCUAUGUCUAGAAAUAUACCCUUCUCGUCUUCUUCCAAAUCAUCAUAGCUAACUUUAAGAAUUUCGUGGAUGUCUUUACGAAGGACUCGUUUAUAUUUAACUAAUGAGGAUUUCCAUACACCUAAACUUUUUCCAAACAAGUGAGAACCUAUCACUUCCAAAGCCAAGGGAAGACCAUGACAAUAAGAUACUAAACGUUUUGCAAUAUCCACAUAACAUGGAUCAAUUUUUUUAUUUUUAAAUGCAUGCCAACUAAAUAACUCGAGAGCCUUUUCACUUUUUAGUUGUUUAACCUCAUAUACUUUCACAAUUCCAUGAGUGGCUAGCAAAUGCUUGUCCCUUGUAGUGACUAUAACCUUGCUGCCGAAGCCAAACCAGUCAUGUCCUCCUACAAAUGCCUGUAACUGCUGCACUUUGUCAACAUUAUCAAGAAUCAAAAGGACUUUCUUUCUUUGAAGCCUCCUUUUAACUAUUGACAUUCCUCUGUAAACAUCACCUACUUUAAUAUCCUUCUCCCCCAAUAUAUCAGCAAGUAGUGUUUCUUGGAGUUGUGCAAGAUCAUGAUUAAUUUCCCUCUUUCUUAUGUCAUCGAGAAAACACACACCUUCAAACUGAUCAGCAAUCAAGUUAUGCACAGCACGAGCAGUUGUUGAUUUGCCUAUUCCGCCGAUUCCAUAAAUGCCUACCAUGUUGACUCUCUCAUUCGAGUCAAAUCCAAGGAGUGAUGUCACUUCUAAUAUUUGAGACUCCAAGCCAACUGGGUUGGUUGCUACAUGCAAAGGAAUGCGGUUUAUCUUUACAGAGACUUCUUCAACUAUCUUUUCAAUAAACUUAUAUUCUGAUUCAAACCUGCACAAUUCAGAAGUACAUGUAGAUCGAAACCGAGCCAUUUAAUGUGCUUAAGUUUUUCACUUCAAACCAAAAUUAAUCACAUAAAAUUAUUAAUUCUUCACUAUAUUUCCUUCUACUAGAUUUAUAUGUUCACUCGUAAAGAUGUUGUGCAAGAUUGGACAGAUAUGGUAUAAUAGUGGAGAAGAGAUGUGAGAAAUGUUGUCAUGUGUCAUUAGAGAAAGCCUUUUUUUAGAAUGAAUCUGUUAGAACACAAAUCUUGUUCUAAAGAAAACAGAUAAAUAAAGGGCACACAAGAACAUAAUUGAUUGAUUUUCAAUCAAUUGCAUAGACUCGCUGCUAUAUACGAUCACAGGGUACAAUAUAAGUUUAAAUACUACAAUCCAAUUUACAAGUUUAUCUUUGAACCCUAACCAGCAGAUGAAUGGGCAAAGGACAUACGGUCCACUACAGUCGGCAACUGCCCAUUGCCCACUUUAUAAGUAAAUAUGAGUCAUACUCAACAUAAUAGAAUAUAUAUUUCCUUUACCUUCUGUGUUGGAGAACAAAAAAAAAAGGUAACUGAAAAAACAAAAAGAGAUGUAUUAAGGGGUGGUAUAACGUACCCUGGUUUGAAAUGCCAUCCAGAGACAUUUGCAGCUUGACGCAAAGCAUCCCUCCAUUUCUGCACCUUGCUAUCCUUCUCAUCUCCAAACCUCACCUCAUGUUUUGCAAAAGCUUCAGCAUAAGUUCCUGUUAGGUUUCGGAUUUGGGAUGGAUCCACAUCGUAAAAAACCGGCAAAAAUAACCUUCCUUGUAACAUUGAGCACUCAAGGAUGGUAACAAGUUCAGUCAAACAAAACGUUGAAGAUGCAUAGUUAGGGGAGAAAAUAGCAAUGAAAAUUCUAGAUUGUUUAAUGGCUUGAAGAAGAGUAGGUGUGAUUUCUUCUCCUUUUUGAAUUUCUUCAUCAUCCAUAAAAGUUUGUAUACCUCUUUGAUGAUGUAGAGAAUGGUACAGAUUACCAGUGAAGUUGUUUCUAGUAUCAAUGCCUCUAAAGCUGAGAAAGACAUCAUAAGUCCAAUCACAUGUGAAAGAAGAAAUAGAAGGUAGUGUUGAUUGUGACAUGAUAAUCAAUGAUUACUACUAGAGUCUAAACCAAUCAAUUAGGAAUGAAAUGAAGAAUCCUCUUAACAACGGUUGUAAUAAUGGUCAUGUUGCAAACAGAGAUUUUACAAAGCAUAACAAUAAAAUGCAAUUGAUGCGGUCUCAGUCGUAAUUAAGUCAUGAUUGCAAAGAAAUCAAAAACCUUAAUGCAUGUGAACCUUUUUCUAAAAACAUGUUCCUUCUCAUUCAUCCUUGCAAUUUAGGAGCGUAAAUGCGUGUUAGAAUUGACCACCUGCUGUAUAGGUAGUUUUGUGAUUCAUGGAUAUAGAGUUCGGUUCCUUCAAUUUGAAGGACAGUGUGAGGCGAUGCAUAUAUGUUUCUAUUUCAUGUCAAUCACUAGUGAUUGGGGAUUCUCGAAAUCAGUUUAAAUCUUGUGUUAUCUUCAUUUUUAAUGAGGUGCUACAUUAUCCAAUUUUAGCACCAACGAUAUUAAAAAACUUGGAAGAUUGACGAAUUUUAACACCUCUAUCUGCAGUCGCGCAGUCGCAUCUGCAAACAGGGAGGAAUCCUUCCAACAAAGCAUACAGGUAUGACUGAAAUGUCAGAUGGCAAUGCAUAAACAUUCCAACAUAACUACAGAGAAUCAACAAGAACAAAACCAUAAAAAUGUUAUGGUGACUUUGUUAAUUCCCCUAAACAUCUUGGUUUUACACACAUAAGUGAGACCAUAUAUUAUGAAUACAAAUACCAAAAUUGAUUGCUACCUCCAAUAAUGGUGGACAUACAAUAGACAAACUCAGCAGACAAACUUAGGUGCUGUCAGUUAGAUACACUUCGUUAGAUCAUAGAGCAGAUUUAAGAGUUUUUAACAACUUAAAAGUAUCUAAAACAGGAGCAACAAAAAUCACCUGAAAUACAUAAUUUUGGAGAGAGAAAGAGGAGAGAAAAAAUGACAUCCAAAAAUAAAGUUGGCACAGAAAAACUUUCAAGCCUUGGUCUCCUCAGCAGCAGUUUCAAAAGUCUCCCCGGGGACAAGAUCUGGUACAGCAUCAUCAUCAUCAUCAUCAUCCUCUUGUGCUGCGGUUGCAUCAGCUCCUGCUUCUGAAAUUGCUUAGCUAGCUUCUUCAGACUUUCCAAGUUAUCUGGCCCUACGUUUUUUCAAAAAAUAAGAAUUUAAGAUUAUAAAGUAAGAAAAAAUAUAAUACAACUUUGAUAAGAUGUAAAUCACAUACCAAAUUGGUGAAUGAUAUUGUGGAGGAUAUACUGCAACUCUGCAAAAGGUACAAAAGCAUUUGGGUGAAAUGUCAGUAGUCUAGCGUGAAAUCGGUUCAAAAUCAAAUGGAACACUAAUGUCAAGUCUGACACUUGAAAUGAGGGAAACAAUGCCAUGGUAUGGUACACUCCAAAUUGUAAAAAAAGUUUAAACAUUUCAAUAUGAUACACAUCAAACAAUGAAGCCUACAAUUUCUGAACACUGAUGCAGACAAAGUUAUUGAUAACUCAUCCGUGCAUAAUGUUCAAAGUUGUUGACAAUAAAUAAACAGCAUAGGCUAUGUUUGAUAAUGUUCCAUAAGGAUACGAAGAAAAAGAGAUGAAUUGUUACUCUUUGUCUGAGGUGAACCACUAACAACCCAAGUGCUGGUGGCAAUAGAUGCUUGUACUGGAAACAAUUCAAGUCCAGCAGUUAGUUUACUUAAAUCAUAAAAUAUAUAUAUGCACACACACACACACACACACAAAAUAAGUAUCGCGAAUUAAUAUUGUUACCUUUGGGGUUUAAAUACUGAAUAACCACGUCAUCCUUAAAGAUGUUGACUUCCUCAAUUGCAGGGAUACCAUUCUCUUCAGAGUGCUUUGAAGUCUUUUGUCGUCUGUAGUAGCUGUCUUGUGGAUAUUAUUACCAUUAGAUCAAUAAGUCACAUCAAUAUAAGCCCGCAAUUGCCGUUCCCCUAUAGCCAAGGAAGAGUUGUAGAUUUGUAGAUAUUCUUGUAAUAUCUGCUUGUGUGCAACUAUCUCUUUAGUUGGUGGAGGAGAAUCAGGGUUGUCAAAUAAUUUGUAAUCUUCCUCUUCAUUUUCUGGGUAGACAUACAGGAGAGACCACUUCAGAAUCUUCUUAGUGGUCCAUUCUUGGUGAGCCAUGGUCCUUUUAGAAUCACCAGGCAUGAGAUGUUCCAUCUCACAUAAAAUCUCCACAACGUUCCAUUCAUUAUCUGAAAAUACGCCCUCCAUUUUGCAUUGUAGAUCACAACAAAGAAAUUGGUCAGUCUUUUUAUGUGUAUAAAAUAUGUAUUGACAUGAAGAAGUGAGUUGCUUAGUGCCAUUGAUGAGUACGUUCAGCUUGAAAUCCAACACCAUGUUGUUUAGAUGAUUUCCAGGUUUUACAAGACACCAUAGAGCUAUCGUGGGGAAUUUUUUCCGGAACCAAAAACACACUGAUGAUUCACUCCUUUUAAGCUUACCCAGUUCAAGUUUCGAACAAAAUAGGUCAAAUUCAAAAUUCGAGAGAUCAUAACCAUGCUGGCUCCACCAAGGAUGACUUACUUCUAUCACAUCGUUGGAGCUUAUGUUACGAGAAUACACAUUAAGGAAGGACUUCCCAUAUUCAUUAUAAACACACAUGGCAUUUGCGAACACUUUUGGACUCACUUUUUCUUCAUUUUCAGAUGAUCGAAAUCCUCUACAACCAUAAGUUGUGAUUAUCUCAACUUUAGGCAAUAUGUAGCUUGGUAAUUGAAUCAUCCUUUGGCAUCCCCUCAAGUACAAACGUUGGAGACCAACAAGAUUUCCAAUUGUAAAAGGCAACUGGUAUAGGUCAGUCUGAUCCAAAUAAACAUCUUUUAUAUUCUCCAUCAAUCCUAGUACUUCUGGGAAGUUAUCAAGACGCGAGCAACCUCUAAGAUCUAAAGUCUCUAGAGAUGGCAAGUUAAUGUAGGGAACCAAACUUUCUAGUCGGGAGCACCCUUGAGCACUGAAUAACACAAGGCUGCCAAGAAACCCAACUGAAUCAUGGAUUCUAAUUAAAUUAAUGCAGUAAUCAAGACACAAAGCCCCCAAAUAUGGUACUCUAGAUAAGCUAGGUAAUUUAGUUAGGAACUUGCAUCCUUCAAAAUCCAGAAAGCUCAACAUCUCAAACACCUAUAAAAAGUAGAUGCCUCAAAUUGUUAGGAUAGAACUGGAAAUAUAUAUUAUUUAAUGCCAGCAAACAAUGUUCAAGAUUUAUUUUUUCUCUUUAAAAGAAUACAAACCUUAAGUGAUUGGAACCAUUUAAGGUGACUUUCAGGCAGGUUAAGUAUUGCAAGAUUCUUGGGAUUAAACUUAGAUGGUAAGGAGGAUGAUGGAUAUCCACUCCAAUCAAGAACUUUCAAACUAUUUGGAAGAAUUUGAGGACCAUUGGAAAAUUGUGCAUUUCGAACUAUAAGAAUUUUCAAGUUCUUCAUCGGCCCAAAGGCUUUUCCACACCAUUUCACCUUUCUACCUUUGCGCAAGUUGGCGAUUAUGACUUCAACUGUAUCAGUUCCCUUUCAAUUCCAAAUCACAGUUUGAACACAAAUUAAAGGUUUAGAAUCUUUCAUCUAUAUAUUUUGUUGUAUACAAAAAUCUUUAAAUUAUAAUGUCCUUUUCUGCUAGUGGUGAAAAAUUUCAUUAAUCAUUUGUACUUGAGCAUGGAAAACUAACAAUCUUGUAAACAACCUAAUACAUCUUAAAGAAAUGUAUACAUAUAACAAAAGAAAGGGGGGUAUUUUCAGAAAAAAAAACAAAAGAAAGGGGGGUAUUUUAAUUUUCAAACCUUGUUUUCUUCCAAAACCUGAACAAUGUCAUCACUAAACCAUAAUCUACUGCGUCUUCCAGGCUCCAACGUUGAUUCCUGCCUCACGAUUUCUCUGCCCAUGCUUUGAAUCAAGUCAUGCAUUCUCACACAACCAUUGAUGUCAAUUUUCAUGAGAGAUUUGUCAAUUAGCACCUGUAUACCAUCUUCCGCAUGAAAACCAUGCAAGUAUAGUAAUUCUUUGACGUAGCUUAUUUCGUAAGAAUUGAAGAAGCACGCUAUGUCUAGAAAUAUACCCUUCUCAUCUUCUUCCAAAUCAUCAUAGCUAACUUUAAGAAUUUCAUGGAUGUCUUUACGAAGGACUCCUUUAUAUUUAACUAAUGAGGAUUUCCAUACACCUAAACUUUUUCCAAACAAGUGAGAACCUAUCACCUCCAAAGCCAAGGGAAGACCAUGACAAUAAGUUACUAAACGUUUUGCAAUAUCCACAUAACAUGGAUCAAUUUUUUUAUUUUUAAAUGCAUGCCAACUAAAUAAUUCGAGAGCCUUUUCACUUUUUAGUUGUUUAACCUCAUAUACUUUCACAAUUCCAUGAGUGGCUAGCAAAUGCUUGUCCCUUGUAGUGACUAUAACCUUGCUGCCGAAGCCAAACCAACCAUGUCCUACAAAUGCCUGUAACUGCUGCACUUUGUCGACAUUAUCAAGAAUCAAAAGGACUUUCUUUCUUUGAAGCCUCCUUUUAAUUAUUGACAUUCCUCUGUAAACAUCUCCUACUUUAAUAUCCUUCUCCCCCAAUAUAUCAGAAAGUAGUGCUUCUUGGAGCCGUGCAAGAUCAUGAUUAAUUUCCCUCUUUCUUAUGUCAUCGAGAAAACACACACCUUCAAAUUGAUCAGCAAUUAAGUUAUGCACAGCACGAGCAGUUGUUGAUUUGCCUAUUCCGCCGAUUCCAUAAAUGCCUACCAUGCUGACUCUCUCAUUCGAGUCAAGUCCAAGGAGUGAUGUCACUUCUAAUAUUUGAGACUCCAAGCCAAUAGGGUUGGUUGCUACAUGCAAAGGAACGCGGUUUAUCUUUACAGAGACUUCUUCAACUAUCUUUUCAAUAAUCUUAUAUUCUGAUUCAAACCUGCACAAUUCAGAAGUACAUGUAGAUCGAAACCGAGUCAUUUAAUGUGCUUAAAUUUUUCACUUCAAACCAAAAUUAAUCACAUAAAAUUAUUAAUUCUUCACUAUAUUUCCUUCUACUAGAUUUAUAUGUUCACUCGUAAAGAUGUUGUGCAAGAUUGGACAGAUAUGGUAUAAUAGUGGAGAAGAGAUGUGAGAAAUGUUGUCAUGUGUCAUUAGAGAAAGCCUUUUUUUAGAAUGAAUCUGUUAGAACACAAAUCUUGUUCUAAAGAAAACAGAUAAAUAAAGGGCACACAAGAACAUAAUUGAUUGAUUUUCAAUCAAUUGCAUAGACUCGCUGCUAUAUACGAUCACAGGGUACAAUAUAAGUUUAAAUACUACAAUCCAAUUUACAAGUUUAUCUUUGAACCCUAACCAGCAGAUGAAUGGGCAAAGGACAUACGGUCCACUACAGUCGGCAACUGCCCAUUGCCCACUUUAUAAGUAAAUAUGAGUCAUACUCAACAUAAUAGAAUAUAUAUUUCCUUUACCUUCUGUGUUGGAGAACAAAAAAAAAAGGUAACUGAAAAAACAAAAAGAGAUGUAUUAAGGGGUGGUAUAACGUACCCUGGUUUGAAAUGCCAUCCAGAGACAUUUGCAGCUUGACGCAAAGCAUCCCUCCAUUUCUGCACCUUGCUAUCCUUCUCAUCUCCAAACCUCACCUCAUGUUUUGCAAAAGCUUCAGCAUAAGUUCCUGUUAGGUUUCGGAUUUGGGAUGGAUCCACAUCGUAAAAAACCGGCAAAAAUAACCUUCCUUGUAACAUUGAGCACUCAAGGAUGGUAACAAGUUCAGUCAAACAAAACGUUGAAGAUGCAUAGUUAGGGGAGAAAAUAGCAAUGAAAAUUCUAGAUUGUUUAAUGGCUUGAAGAAGAGUAGGUGUGAUUUCUUCUCCUUUUUGAAUUUCUUCAUCAUCCAUAAAAGUUUGUAUACCUCUUUGAUGAUGUAGAGAAUGGUACAGAUUACCAGUGAAGUUGUUUCUAGUAUCAAUGCCUCUAAAGCUGAGAAAGACAUCAUAAGUCCAAUCACAUGUGAAAGAAGAAAUAGAAGGUAGUGUUGAUUGUGACAUGAUAAUCAAUGAUUACUACUAGAGUCUAAACCAAUCAAUUAGGAAUGAAAUGAAGAAUCCUCUUAACAACUUUUUUCUCCUAUGAGUAUCUGUCUAGAUUAGAGAAGAAAGCUCUGCCAUGAACAAGUCAGACAAGCUGCAUAGUUGGCUACAAGUUGACUUGACAAUUUACCCACUAGUCUCCUAUUCUUUCAUUGUAGUCAAAUUCUAAAAGUAUUACCUCAUUCAUUAGAUUACACAUUUAUCAUAGUUGACUAAUAAAUUAAUUUUUUUAUUAGUAAAUACUCCCUCCAUUUCAUAAUGAGUAUUGCUUUAGAGAAGAAAAAAAAAUAUUGUUUCAAAUAAAAAAAACUAUUGAGGGACUAAAAAAUUGUUUCAUAAUGAGUAUCGCUUUACACAUUUAUCUUAGUAAACACUCUCAUUUCUUUGAAUUUUGUUAGAUUAUUUUUUUGCUAGAGUUUUAGAAAUAAAAAAAAAACUAUUGAGGGACUAAAGCGUAGAUUUUAACUUAAGAGGGGAGAGGAAUGUAAUUCAAGCUUCUCUCAAGGGAGGGGAAUGAAAUAUUUUCUAAUAUGUUUUGAAUAAUAGGGGAGGGGAGUGUAAUUCAAGCAUCUUUGAGGGGAGGGGAGUGUAAUUUACUCUUAAUUAUUUCAUUUCAUUCCUUAAUCUAUGUGUCAAAACCUUAAACGACACUCAUUAUGAAACGGAGAGUACGAAAUUAAAUGUUUUUUUUUGUUUUUAUGUAAUAUUAAUGAACUGAUGGCUCAUCAUUUUCAUGGUGGUUUGAAGAGUUAAAAAGUUGAUGAAUAUACUAUAAUUAUAUGGGUUGUGGAGUUUGUUUAUGGCUAGCCAGCCUAAUCCUAAUGGCUCUACAAAUGAAAAAUCCCUGUGUAAUGCUACUCAACCAGAUACGUCUUCUGAUGUUAUUUUUCAUGCAAAGGCAUUGAUAUGGGAGAAUACAUCAGCUAUGUGAAUUAAUCAUAGUUUUAACAACGGUUGUAAUAAUGGUCAUGUUGCAAACAGAGAUUUUACAAAACAUAACAAUAAAAUGCAAUUGAUGCGGUCUCAGUCGUAAUUAAGUCGUGAUUGCAAAGAAAUCAAAAACCUUAAUGCAUGUGAACCUUUUUCUAAAAACAUGUUCCUUCUCAUUCAUCAUUGCAACUUAGGAGCGUAAAUGCGUGUUAGAAUUGACCACCUGCUGUAUAGGUAGUUUUGUGAUUCGUGGAUAUAGGGUUCGGUUCCUUCAAUUUGAAGGACAGUGUGAGGCGAUGCAUAUAUGUUUCUAUUUCAUGUCAAUCACUAGUGAUUAAGGGAUUCUCGAAAGCAGUUUAAAUCUUGUGUUAUCUUCAUUUUUAAUGAGGUGCUACAUUAUCCAAUUUUAGCACCAAUGAUAUUGAAAAACUUGGAAGAUAGACGAAUUUUAACACCUCUAUCUGCAGUCGCGCAGUCGCAUCUGCAAACAGGGAGGAAUCCUUCCAACAACGCAUACAGGUAUGACUGAAAUGUCAGAUGGCAAUGCAUCAACAUUCCAACAUAACCAGAGAAUCAACAAGAACAAAACCAUAAAAAUGUUAUGGUGACUUUGUUAAUUCCCCUAAACAUCUUAGUUUUACACACAUAGGUGAGACCAUAUAUUAUGAAUACAAAUACCAAAAUUGAUUGCUACCUCCAAUAAUGGUGGACAUACAAUAGACAAACUCAGCAGACAAACUUAGGUGCUGUCAGUUAGAUACACUUCGUUAGAUCAUAGAGCAGAUUUAAGAGUUUUUAACAACUUAAAAGUAUCUAAAAGAGGAGCAACAAAAAUAACCUGAAAUACAUAAUUUUGGAGAUAAAAAGAGGAAAAAAUUGACAUCCAAAAAUAAAGAUGGAACAGAAAAACUUUCAAGCCUUGGUCUCCUCAGCAGCGGUUUCAAAAGUCUCCCCGGGGACAAGAUCUGGUACAGCGUCAUCAUCAUCCUCUUGUGCUGCGGUUGCAUCAGCUCCUGCUUCAGGAGCCUGCUUCUGAAAUUGCUCAGCUAGCUUUUUCAGAUUUUCCAAGUUAUCUGGCCCUGCAUUUUCCAGAAAAUAAGAAUAUAAGAUUAUAAAUAAAUUAACACAAAAUAUAAUAUAGAUUUGAUAAGAUGUAAAUCACAUACCUAGUUGGUGAAUGAUGUUGGGGAGAAUAUCCUGCAACUCUGCAAAAGGGAAAAAAUAUAUAAUUGAAAUGUCAGUCUAAUGUGAAAUCAGUGAAAAAUCAAAUGGAACACUAUUGUCAAGUCCUAUAAUCAAAAUGAGGAAAACAAGUCCAUGGUAUGGUACACUCGAAAUUGUAACAAAAAUUUCAACAUUUCAAUAUGAUAAUCAUCAAACAACGGUGCGCAUGAGCCUGCAAUUUCUGAACAUUGAUGCAAACAAAGUUUUUGAUAGCUCAUUCAUACAUGAUGUUCAAAGAUGUUGACAGUGUUCUAUUGUAGGUGUUGAAGUUUCGUGUAACACACUAGUAAAUAAACAGUACAAGCUAUAUUUGAUAAUGUGCAAUGAGGAUGUGACCAAAAGAGAUAUGUAUUCUUACUCUUUGUCUGAGGAGAUCCACUAACAACCCAGGUAUUGGCAGCAAUAGAUGCUUGUACUGCAAACAAAUCAAGUUUAACAGUUAGUUUACUUAGAUCUUAAAAUAAAAUAUAUACAAUAAGUAUCGUGAAUUAAGAAUACCUUUGGGGUUUAGAAACUGAAUAACUACAUCAUCCUUAAAGAUGUUGACUUCCUCAAUGGCAGGGAUACCAUUCACUCCAAUUCUCUUCAGAGUGCUUUGAAGUCUUUUGUCGUCUGUGGUAGCUGUCUUGUGGACAGCCUUCUUCUUUCUAAAAUGGGCAGAAAACCAAACAUUAAUAAUAAGAAACAACUUAACAGAAGCAAUCUGCUUAUCAGAGCAUCAGACAGAAAUAAUACAGGCACCACACUCAAAUAAAAAACAAUUAUAGGAUGAACUGAAAAUUAUAGUUUUGCAAAAUAAAAAUUAGAAUUUAAGAGAUACAUGGAUACCAAAGUGGUAAGGUUUCAGUUGAUUGCAAAGAUAAAGAUAAGGAAUUGUAGUCAAAUCAUUUUAAGAGAUAACAUGAUUGCUAGUAGUACAUUAAUGGAUAGUUAAUAGUAGUAUCAAAUCAUUUUAAGAACAUAACUUCAAUAUGGAAGAAAAUUGUAUUUAGAUAUAAUAUGAUAUAUACCUUCUGACUGUACCCUUUCCACCGGUUCUAACAGAACCGGCCAUCUUCAUCAACUUUUCUACAUUCAUCUGUAUAGAAGUGAAUAAUGAUAAAAUAUAAGUUUCACCUGAGAAAAAAAAAUUACGUACACCUUUGUACAGAUGAAUAAAUGAAUGGUGACAAUACUGAAGUUUAAGACACAUGAGGCAAACAAUGAUAAGAUAUUACUAACGAAAAUUACAGGAACAAAAAUGCACUGAUUUUCCAAAAUUAGUAUAAAAAGGUUCUGUUAGAUAUGUCGAAUACAUAUAUCAUCAGAAUUUGUACAAGUAAACAUUAACUCGUUAGAACAAAGAUAGAAACCACCAAAAAUAUAAAUGAAAUCAAAUAAUUAAUUGAAUUACAUUAAAACACAAAGACAAAAACCUAUCACAUUGACUGAAUCCAAACAUUUUUUACACAAUCAUAUUCGAGUAUAAUUUAUCCUUCUCAUUACUGUAUUAUAAUUGAUAAGUUGAUUACAUACAACCCAUCAAAGAAAGAACUAGGUAUCUCACUGUAAACAUACACUGUAUGAACCUAUGAAGCACGGACACAGCUCGGAUUAGCUGUGUCCCUCUGUCCGAGACAAACACAUGUGAUUACACUUAAAUGUGUGAUUUUUUCAGAUUAUUACCAGUGUCUGUGCUUCAUAGGUAGGAACAUUAAGCUUACACUCUGAAAAUUCAACUCAAUCAUAUAAAAAAAUAUAAAGGGCAAUCUGCUACUAAAAAUAAAUUAUUUCAUCAUGCAUUUACGUGUAGCCCUACAACCAAUCUAAACAAGAUUUAAUAAUACUAGACUACAGGAACAGUAUUUCAUUUCCUAAAAAUAAAAAUUUUAAAUGCCACACUUUAAAAUUUAUAAUUGAAUUAAUUGAGUAAAAAUUCCCCAUUUCCACUUUUUUUUAUUUUAUUUAAUAAAAAAUCCUUUUUUUAUCUCCAAUUAUUUCACCUAUAAAACUAUAUAGUAAAUAAAUACAUAAUAAUCUAAAUCUAUAAUCUAAAUCUAGAUGAUACUAAUCAUAAUAAUAUCACUAACCGAAGCUGGUAAACAAAAUGUAAUCAUUUCAAAAAUUCAAAAAAAAUUAAAUUUAAAUUAAAUCAACAAAAGGAAAAGUGAAAUAUCGAAAAUGAAAUUGAAAUCAAGAAAUCGAAAAUGGAGAUAAAAAAAAAUAAAAAAAAAAUCGAAACUAGGGUUCAACCAAGAUUUGUAUGAAUCAAACACUGAAUAAGAAAAACGAAACAGAGAUUUGAAAUUAGCGAAAUGAAUGAAUGAAUGAAUAAAAACGGUACCUUUGAUUAGGGUUAGGUUGAGAACCUAGGAACAGAUUGCGAAGUGAAGAAGAGCUAAACGGUGGAAAGAGAUAAGGAGUGGCUUUUAUACUUACGAAGAAGACUGUGUUAAAAACCCUAUCAAUUUUUUUUUUGUUUUUUGUUAUACAUGUUUGGGUUUAGUGUUAUGACCCGUUUAAUUUUAGCCCAAAUACUUAUAAGCUUAGGGAUGUGUUAAUUACACCUCCUCUUUUUUUAUACAAUUGCAUCUCUUGUUACUUUUAGGAAUAAAUUAUAAAUUUCAGGGUUAAAUUCAUUUUUACCCCUUGUGGUUUGAGAAUAUCAUUUGGCGAAUUUAAGUGUUAAUUGUUCAAUCGUGUUGUGCUCGUGAUAUUUUUUGGUUUAUGACUAGAAUGGUUUAGCGGUACAAGAUGUAAUCAAUUGAUAUCUUAUCAUGACCAUUCGUAAAGAAAUGAGAAAAUUGAUAUUGUUUAUAUGUUGUGGUUACUCAUUAUUUUGUCAUGAAGAAUAUUAUACAAAAGUCUAAACUUUUAAAAUAAUAGUAACAUGGUUAGUAGAGUUCUCCAAAUUUAAGUCAAUUUCGAGCCAAUAUAAGCAAUCAAACUUGAAGUCCUUGUGGACUUCGUGGCUAAGAUACACAUCUAUCUAGCAGAUAUAAUGAAUCAUCCAAAAACAUCGGGAGCAAAGAAUGAUUCAUUUUGGAAGAACUUGGAGGCCUAUAUAUAUAUAUAUAUAUAUAUAUAAAAUCCUGGUUUAAUUUCAAAACAAAAAAUCAAAUAUUAUACAAAUUUGUGACACUAGUACCAUAAUCAGAGACAGAAAUGCGGAUUUACAUAUCUAAGUCAACAACAAUUCUAAAAAAAACAAUUCUCAACUCAUCGUUAAUCAAAUCGAAUACGAGUAUCAUUGAAAGGAAAACUCUUAGACUUCUACCUCACUUCUAAACUGCAAGUUUAUGGGGCUAGAUGAACCACAUGAGUAUGACAUCCCAUCUCAUGUAAUUUUAUAUCAAAACAAUUUUCUAUGAAGAAGCUCGAAGACAUCAACAUCAUUUAGGUUCCUUGGUUGAAAGCGUAAUAUCGGAUAAACUCUCAAAACUAAAAAAUAUGAAAGUAUCAAGCCACCACAAAUUCAUAGCAUUCUAGAUUUUACAUGCCUCUAGUGUCGAUGUGGGUAAAGGAAUUCAAAGAUUAUCUAAUAAACAAUAUACUUCCUAACAACGUGGAAACGACUCGGAAACUCAAGUGAGAUGUAACACACUACACCUUCAUUGCUAAUAAAUUAUACAUGAAAAUGAUUCUUCAAACCUUCGUUGUUUUGCCUUGAAGAACAAGUAGCAUAAUACAUAAUUCGGGAAAUACAACAAGAAAUAUGUGGUAAUCAUUGGUAAGGAAAAAAAAAAGAUCUUACCUUAUGAGGUCCUUCAAUAUGGGUAAUAUUGGCACAUUACACUCACAUUGCAACGAUGUUGUCUAUGAAUAUGAUAAAUGUGAAAUAUUUGCUAAUCAGUCACGCCAGCCAUAUUGAGGCACUUCAACCCUAUUGUUAAAUCACAACCCUUCAACACAUAGGGGCUCGAUAUCCUUGUGCCCUUUCCAUUAUUGCUGGGUUAGCUAAAAUUUAUUGUUGUUUAACAUAUAUUAUUUCUCCAAAAGGAUAGAAGUUGUGCCUCUAUCCAUCAUCCUAGCCAAAAAGGAUGCGGAAGUUCAUAUGGAAAAAUGUCAUUCGUCGACACAGACUCCCUCAUACCAUCACAGUGAAGCAAAAAAAUUCAUGAUUUUUUGCAAUGAUCUCGAGAUCAAAUUGAAGUUUUCCUUAGUUAAACAAUCCCAAACGAACAGGUGGGUGGAAUCGGCGAGAAAGUAAUCUUUAACAGGUUACGAAAGUGACUUGAUCAAGAGAAAGGAAAAUGGGUUGAAGAAUUGACAUCAUUCCUACAUAAGAAUCACCAUCCAAGCUUGUUUACAAAUAAGAUGUGAUAGUAUUUGUGGAAUUAACAACAAUGUCAUUCGGAGUUGGCCUGUCUGAAGAGUCCAUUUUAGAAAAAAGCCAAUGUGUAUAAACCUUGAUUUGCCCGACUAAGUCAAUGAGCUAGCACACAUAAUUGAACAUACUGUCAAACUUAGGUUUGUGAACAAGUUCAACACAAAGGUUAAACCUCAAAGUUUUAGGGAAGAAAACUUGACCUUAUGAUUAAUGAUGUGAGGAAAGAUCAACAUCAUCGAAAAUUAGCAAAAAGCUAGGCGUCGAGGAGUUCGGGGGCAUAAGAGAAACAAUAAACCAAUGCACCAUAACCACAAGAGAAAACGUCUUAUCUUCAUCUAAACUUUAAGACAUUAAGUAUAUGUGUCUCCUCUCUUAUAUAUGUAACAAUUUUUUUUUGGUACAAUAUAUAUCUAACAUUUUAUUCAUUCAUUAACGUUAUGAAAUUUAACUACUUACAUUUGAAACCCAACAAUCUUUGCUUAAAGUGUGAAUUCUCUCCUCCUAUUCUUGAUCUAAACAUUUAAGAUCAACUCAUCGCCACCGUACAAAGAAACUUAUCAACUAUAAAAACAUAGUUUUUUUUACGGAACUAAAAAACAUAGUUGAAAACAUUUAUUCAUGUAAUGUUACGUCUUGUUUCAAUUGACAUCUCUUUUCCAUUUUAUAACUAAUGGAGUCUUUAUACAACAUGUCAUGCUUUUUAUGACAAAUAUAUCCUUAACCAUGAAUCUUAUAUCACUUUAAUUUAAUAUCCCUAACACAUUAAAUAUCACAUGUGUGAUCCAAAAUUCAUAACAACCUCUUCACGUAAUAUCACAUGCUUUUUAGAAAGAUUAUCCGAAAUCCCACAAAAUAAAGUAAAAAAGAAAGAAUAUCGGAUUGAGCUUUAAGAAAAAAGAAACAAAAUAAACCAAACUUCAUACAAGAUAACUUUGAAGAGAACAAGAGGACAUUCUAUAAAUAAGUUACCAUUCUUCCAAACUUUAACAAUCCUCUCACAAGUAAGUUUCAUUUGAUUUCUAUCUACCCAUGCUUAACAUUUUAUUUCAAAAGUAAUAUAUUAACAAAAGAUAUUUAUUUUUUCUUUUUUUGUUGCUUUUUUACCAAGCAAAGAAAAAAGUCACUUUUUAAAAAACUCUCUUUUAGAAAUGCUAACUCAUCUUACAAAUGUCAAAAUUGCAAAGUCGAACAUCGUGACCUGAGUUCAAAUUCAAAACUUCACUAAGGUUAAUUUUAAUGACUUAGAGCAUUCACAAUGGUAGUUCCCUAACAAGAACUCUUUAAAUGGACCCACGUGACACAUCACUUAUUUAUAAUUUUUUAAUAAAAGUAUUUAUUAAGGACUCAAUGACUUCAAUGACAAUACACUAAUAAGGACUCCAAUGAAAAGAUAUGUCCCACUAUCUUUACAUCAUUAAAUAAAAAUAAUUUAUAUACUCAUUUUUACAAGUGGAACCAAAUAUAACAUAUUUUAUUAUUCUUUUAUGCAAGUUAGAUCAAAUAGUACACAUUUUAUUAUUUUUCUAAACGUAGAACCCGUUAGUUACUUAGAAGAAAGAGGGUCAUUAUAUAGUUGUCCGUUCUAUAACGGGGACUCAUUUUUUCUUCCUCUAAAAGUGAUCCUUGUUAAGCAUGGACCCUUGUUGAAGAUGCUCUUACCAUCUUACAUAGGACAAAAAAAAAAUGUUAUAAAAUGAAACAUUAUGAGCCACCAACAACACUAUCAUGAACAAACUGUUUGUAGAACAAGAGAGAGAAAGAAAGUACACACAGCUGAGCUAUGUCAACUGCCAUCAAUGCUUCCACUUCUGCUCCAGCACAAAGGUACAUUAAUAACUAUAGAAUAUAUUCAGUUCACAACAUUACUUUGUUUUUCAGUUUUAUUCUGAGUUUUGAAUCUACUUCAUACAUGCAAAUUAUUAUCAAGACUUUCUUAGUUAUAGUUUGAGCUUCUGUUUUUAUUUAUUUAUUUAUUUUCUUAAGAAAAUAUGUUAUCAGAUUUUUUGUCAGCUUUUGACAUGAUAACUGUGGGUUGACUAAGUUUGUCUGUUUAAUUAUUAGAGAUUUUAACAAAUAAAAGACACAAAAAGAGAUCUGCUGAGGUAUUUGAAUUCUUCAUGUUGUUGACUUUAUGGUUAUAUUUUUACAAAUUGAAUUGAUCUUGUUUGAAUUUGAACCUCUUUUUUUCUUAACAGCAAUAUAUAAAACAAAUAUUGUUUGAACUUAUUUGACUUAUUUUUCUUAACAGCAAUAUAUAAAACAAAUAUUGUUUUAAGAAAUUGUUCUGAUAUUCAUUCUUCUUUCAAUACUAGUUUAGUCUUAGAUCUAAAUUAAUGUUUGUCCUCGUGAGCUUAACUCAGUUGGUAGAAAACAAUGUAUAAGAUAUGCAAAGUCCGGAAUUCAAACCCUGAUCACCACAAAAAAAAAAAAAAAAGUCUAAAAUAAUGUUUACUGGGUUCAAUUCGUUUUUGUUUUAUGAUUGUUUUCAUUUAGAGUAUGUUUGGGUGGAAGGUUUAGAAGGACUAUGUCUGUAUUUUGGUAUAUAUUUUAGAUUAUAAAAAAUUGAAAGAAUAAUAUUUUUUUUUUUGUGGUGGCCGGAAUUCAACCUUAGCCUUGUGUUCUUGGCUCUCUCAUUUUUCCCCAAAUUAUGUGAUUCUUAUGAAUUUCAGAUUUACCAUUUCUGAGCCAAAAUUCGAAUUCCUUCAUAAUGAGUUUGGUUAUAUAAUUUGAGGAUUUCUGCUGAUUUCUCAACCAUGUUUGUUUUGGCACUACAAAUUUACAGUACUUGUUAAGAAUCUUAGUUUGUUGCCCUGCUGUGCUGGUUUAAUAAGAAUUGAAGAUAAUAAAAUCGAACGUAAGAGAGAGCAAAAGUAAAUAGAUAUUGACAAAUUAUGUUUAACUUUCAUAAUAAGACAGCAAAGAAUCAAUGAGGUUAUAUCUUUGUAUUCUUCAACCGAGAAGUAGGGCCGAUCCAACAUAUUUGUAGGCCUAAAGCGAACCAUAGUUUAAAUCCGGUGAAGGACUUUUGCGGUGCUAUUUUUAUAUUUUCACUAGUCUUCUUGUAUUUAGAUGAGCUUGGCAUGAAAAAUAUUAUGAUAUGCUACCAGUCAUCCUUAAGAUCUUGAUGUUUUGAUCAUAAUAAAAUUAGACAAUUGCUAAUAUAGGUAGGUGCUGAAUUUGAUGAUCAUGCACCAACAUAUAAAAUUAUCAAGCUUGUAUGAUGUAUUGUUUGAAUGAUCAAUGACAUUUGAAAGCAAAGACUAAGAAUGAUUAAUCAGUCAUAUUAUUUUCGUAUAUGCUAAGUUUAUUUGUACAAGAAAUUGAAGCUAGUUAGAUAAAAUCGGUUGUACAUUUUAUUGCUUGCCCUGUAAUUUUGAAAAGCUAAUAUUUGGUUAUUAAGUUAUGUAUUGCUUAGAUAUGGUUUUGAAUUUUAUAUCUAAUUCGCUACUAAUAUCCGAGUUUUCUUCAACCUUCAAAUCCUCCACCGGUCUCAAAGUUCAAAAUGGAUAAUUUAAUGAAGGUUGAAUCGAUCGGGAGUAUUUAAGUUUAGACUCUGACUAGAACAAUCCUUAGCUAGAAUUUACUUACUUUUGACCAAAUUCAUGAUUAACAGGGUCCCUUUCCCAUGGGAACCGGAGGGUUAAGACAAAAGAUUAUGGGAAAACACUGUCUUUUACAAGUGAAAAAGAUCUAGAAAUAUUUAGCUGUUUUCUUUCCAUAUCACUGAUUUCUGAAUUAUGGAUUCUGGUUUUGGUCAUGUUUAUCUGUCACACAAUGACACAUUCUAUAAUAAUAAUGUUUUCUUUAAGUUUUCAAUUAUUGUUAACCACUCUCAAUAUUUCAAUCAUUUGAGCUAAAGUUCUCUGCUUUAUAUCUCCCUCAGAUUAUUAGGUAAAGUCGCUGUGGUAACUGGUGGAGCCUCCGGAAUUGGAGAAAGCAUCGUUCGCCUAUUCCACACCCACGGUGCUAAAGUAUGUAUAGCCGACAUCCAAGACGACCUUGGACAGAAGCUCUUUGAUUCCUUAAGUGAUCUAGAAAAUGUUUUUUUCGUCCAUUGUGAUGUCGCUGUAGAGGCUGAUGUCUCCACUGCAGUAUCCAUCGCUGUCGCUAAAUUCGGCACUCUAGACAUCAUGGUCAACAAUGCGGGAAUUUCCGGAGCACCUUGUCCUGAUAUCCGCAACGUGGACAUGGCAGAGUUCGACAAAGUAUUUAACAUAAAUGUAAAGGGAGUUUUCCAUGGAAUGAAACAUGCUGCUCAAUAUCUGAUCCCAAAGAAAAGUGGCUCAAUAAUUUCUAUAUCAAGUGUAGCAAGUUCCUUAGGAGGGUUAGGACCGCAUGGAUACACAGGUUCCAAGCAUGCUGUGUGGGGAUUAACAAAGAAUGUUGCAGCUGAAUUGGGGAACCACGGAAUAAGAGUGAACUGUGUGUCACCUUAUUGUGUCGCAACAGGUUUGGCUUUGGCUCAUUUGCCUGAAGACGAAAGAACCGAGGAUGCCAUGGCUGGUUUUCGUUCUUUUGUCGGGAAAAACGCAAACUUGCAGGGCGUAGAGUUAACUGCUGACGAUGUGGCUAAUGCCGUGCUCUUCCUUGCAAGUGAUGAUGCAAAGUAUAUAAGUGGAGAGAAUCUGAUGGUUGAUGGAGGAUUUACUAGAACUAAUCACUCACUCAAAGUUUUUAGAUGAUGAUUAUUUGUUUUUAACUGCUUGUUAAUUUACUUAAGCAGGGUUUAGAACAUUGGAAACACAGAAUGUCUAAUGAUAGAUUUUCAAAUAACAAAACCACUAUAGCUUGUCUAUGAAGUGAUUAAGUAAUAAUGUGAAUUUUUCUCUGAAUUGAUUAAAAAAGUAUCUACCCUUGAGGAAAUUUGUCUCUAUCAGCUUAGGCAAUUGCAAAUUUACAUCAUAUUAUGAUUUAAAAUAAAAAUACAUCAUAUUGUCCAACCUUGUGAUUAACCAUGGAAAGGAGCACACAUUCCAACUUUAUUGUCACCAUAUUCUCUCUUAGUUACUGCAAGUAAUUUGUUUAUGACUUGGAAAUGAGUAAGUAAAAAGAAAUAACUAGAGCCAUUAUGAUAUAUUACACUUUUCAACAAUGUUAACACAAGCAACUGACAUGUCAAAAUUAUUCUCAGAAUCAGGUUGCAAAGGUGAAGGUAAAAAACUAUUUACAGUAGCAAGUUUAAACUUGUUUUGCAUUUUGGAAAUACAAACAAGAAAAACACACAUUGUCUAAAGCUUGGAAUUAAAUGUUUGGUAAGAUAUGCUAUUAUCAAUUCUAAAUUCUAUGCAGCACACAACUAUUCAAAAUUCUAAUUAUCAUGAAUAACCAAUCUCAGAACUCAUACAAAAUUUAUUCUUGACCCAAAGUGCAUAAUAAACUUAAAAUUGCAAAACCAUUUUGUAAUUUUACCAAGCUUUACAAAGUUCACAAAAUGUUUAACUAAAUCAUAUAUUCUUCUCUUCACUUUACUUUAAAGAAGUGCAAACAUAGUUUUCCCUCAGUAACUAAAACACCAUAUAAAUUUCACUCCAAUAACAUGUCUUGCAUUUAUAGUUUUGUUUGGCAUAUUUUUGCUCUAAAAUAUAACAGGUACAAUCUUCAGGAUAACACUAGGACAUGUCACAUAGACAGAGGCCAAGUUUGAAAACUUGGGGGAAACUAAACAUCAACUUAGGUAGCUUGUAAAGGUGAAAUGUGAGUUACAUCAUGUAAACAAAGCAAAAGACCAUUUCAUUUACUCAAAAAGAAAAUUACACACCCAAACAAAUUGAUAGUGAAUGGCUAUACUGUCUUGUAAUUGGUUUGGGGACACUAGGGAACAGUUUUGGCCGUGUACGGUACAAUUUUGCUGCCAGAAAACAAAUACAAUAUUACAAUGCUAAAGGUUUCCCAGAUACACAAAAGAAAAACAACUGAAGACAGCUAGAUUUUACACAGUGAAGUGAAUGAAGUAUAGAAUCAACAAUCUGGAUUCUCUAUUGCGGUAUCAUCAACGGAAGCGAGCAUUAGCUGUGGUUGAAAAGCUCUUCUUUCUUUAGCAGCCUUUUUGCGUUCACGCCUCAUCUUGAAGUACUUUAUCUUCCUUAAUCUAUAGCUAUCGGGGUUCGGAACCCGUUCUUCUUGUGGGUAAACACUGAUCUGUAAUAUUUUUACAACUUUAUUAGCUAGUUAAUUUGUACUGUAGGAUUACAGGUCAUAUACAGAAAGCAGUGAAAGACUAUUUUUUACCUUUUUCUUGUCUGGUCCAUAUUUCUCAAAUUUUACAACUCCAUCAAUUAGGGAGAAAAUGGUAUGGUCCUUACCAAUCCCUACAUUCUUUCCUGCGUGAAACUUCAAGUUUUGCAAAGAAAAAAAUAUUAGAACUUAGAGAAACAGUAAGUUUCAUGAUAGGACAUUCACAUUACAACAUCAUUAGAUGCAUUUAGCCAAGUCUAUCGGAAAAAAAAAAUACUUUGGUUGUUAUUGUCAGAAAAACAGCAAGGCAAUAAAGAUUCAACAAUAUCUUAAAAACUGCUACAACAAAUGCACCUAUUUACUAUAUUGUGUGUGCCUGUAACAACCUUAUCAUGAUUUACUAUAUUCUGUGUGCCUAUAACCACAAAUACAAACUCAAUGUGAAGGUUUUUCAACUCUCAGCAACCGCAUCGCAACAGCAAAAAGUAGCUACAUUGACCGUGUUUUUUCAUGUUUUUUUCCAUAAUAUCCAGGAUCACCACUAACCGUGAUUGCGAUUUAAAAAAUUGACCACAUUAUUUCCAUAAUAGCAUUUAUUACAAUCAGUAUAGAACAAACAUGAGAAGUUCUUUCAGUCAGUAUAAAGUGUGCAAUAAAAGUUGUGGAAUCGCUUACAACUUUACCAUACUGAUAAAAAACAAUCGUAUCAAUGGUGAUAUUGUCAAUUACACAAUGCAACUCAAUUAUUCAAAAGACCUUAAUCAUUCUUAGUUCCCUUCAUAUGGAAUUCUAGGCUCUAGCAUAUAAAUUGCAAAAGUAGACAUGUUUUACCUGUUCUGAUUGACCUAAACAUCUAAGGAAACACUUAUUAAAAAGAGACAAUAUCUAAGAAUUUUUAAAAUAACAAGUUCUUAUAGAAGAUGAAUUCUGUCAUUUAACUUGACUUAAAAAACCCAUAACAAAGAAAAAGGGUUUUUCAGUGACUAACCACAACAAAAAAAAACCCAUAACUAGAGAGAACAAUAAAAACUCACUAUUUUUGCAACUCUCACUCUUAUAAUUGCAUCUUGAAAUUAAUGAUAUAAAUCGGCAAAAUAGUAUAAUUGCCAACUCACUCUCUUUGGAUGUCCGUCCAAAUGUCAGCGUAGGACUUAAAAAACGAGUGGUGUCAAAGCGUACUUACGAGUAAGCUAUGAAGAACGAACUCUGACACUGACACCUCACGGACACAUUGACAAUGCUAAUUUUAAAAAUAUAGGACAAACACUGAUACAUACAUAUUUAUUUAUUUAUAAUUAUUAAAUAAGAUAUGAGCAUUAUUUAUUAAAGAUCUAAAUCGAGAACUAAAAUAUAUAUGUACGUCUAAAUUGAGCCAUUUGGUACAAAGUUAUUAAACAAAAUAUAACAAAUUUUCACCUCAUCCAUCCAUUCAUCUACUAUACAGAAAAGUUAAAAAAAAAAUGAUAUCUUCAACCCCUUCAUUUAUCAUCACUACUUCAACACAAUUUUAAGCCUCAUAGAAGUUUACGAGGAGUGUCGAAGGAGUGUAAAAGUGUGUUGAAGCAAAUAAUUUUUUUGGGGGACACAUGUCGUGUGUCGGACACAGAGACCUUAAUGACAGAGGUGUCUGUGCUUCAUAGUCUCAUAUAUCAGACUCAAAUGAUUAAUUAAAACAAAAAUGUGACAUUUCGUAAUUGAUAAUUUGGAUAUCAAAGCAGAGCAAGGCAGUGUCUGGUUUUUUUUUUUUUUUUUUUGGUAGAUAGACGAAAUGGCAAAGCCAUUAUAAACUCACACACACAAGUGGAGGUACCGGGGUUCGAACCCCGGUCAUGGUAUCAGCCUAACAAUUUCGGCAUUUGUCAGAUGAGCUAGGACUUCUGGAUGGCAGUGUCUGGUUUUAAACAUGCCAAUUACACCAAUCUAUAAUCCUUUCUUUAAUUCUUUCUAUAAGCUCUAAUUGAACACAAACUACACCAAUUUCAUUUUUUUCAAUUCACCCAAAAUAUAAUUCUUAACGACAAUUAACAUGUUCAUAAUUUCAUAAAUUCAUAUGACACGUCAUUUUUUUUUUGUCUAAAAUUUGAAAAUGGAAUAGAGAAACUGAUUAUGAACACACCUUGGUUCCACGCUGACGAACAAUGAUGGAACCAGGUUUAGCGACCUGGUCACCAUAAACCUUAACACCGAGACGCUUUCCGGCCGAGUCACGGCCAUUCUUGGUACUUCCUGCUCCCUUCUUAUGAGCAUUCCGGAUAAUCAGUGCUGACCGAUGAUGAAUUCGAGGGAGAGAUACUGAUGGAGUCAUACGAAGAGUGGUGGAACCUGAUAAAAAGGAAGAUGAAGAUGAAGAAGAGGGAGAAGAGAGAGAAAGUGAUUUGAAUGCUGUUGCUAUGUUGAAACCCAUGCAUACAGCCAUGGUGGAAACUGCUGGGUUGUCUGAAGAAGUGAGAGAUAAGACUCAAGAAGGGAUGAAUGAAAUGAAAAUGAAGGUGGAUAAGGGGAAAUUUGGAAUUUAAUUGAUUUUUUUUAAUAUUUUUGUAUAUUAAUUUUUUUUUCUGCCAUUCAAAAAAAAACAUUAUUAUUUUUUUUCUGCAGCACAUUGAUAACACAUCACAUCUUCUAUAGAUACAUUUGAGAAUGUUUAAAAUGAACGAUACAUAUGACAUCUCAAGAUCAAAUUUAAAAGAAAAUUUACAUGUGGCAAUGUAAGGUUGAAUUAUAAAAGUCAUAGUUCAAUUACACAAUUUAAGACAAUUUUUUUUAAUGACACCAUUUAUAACAUACUAAAGUAACAAAGUAUAAUCAACACAUAAGAAUCAACCACUGUCCACCAACGAUGCAAGAAGCAACCACGAUGGAUAAAAUAUUUUAGGUAUGAUGAACGAUACUACCGUCAACACAGAGCAUCUACGCACCUAGCCCUUUCGAGGAACCUUAAGAUAAAACCAGUCAUGUUGAAUCGAGAUAUGCAUCCAUCAAAGAAGCCAGAACUAAAGAACCCAUAUCUUCAAUCCAAAAAACCAGAUUCGAGAUUUUUAGACAAAAUCACAGAGCCGAAACAAAGUCACCACCCAUCUUCAUUUCCACGAAACAAAACGAAAACAAACGCCAAUAAACAAAAAUGAAAAAAAAAUAGCCAAAAACAGACUGAGACUAACUCAUAAUCGCGUCAACACCAUAGCUCUACAAGACGUCGACGAUGUUGAACGAAACCAGUGACCACAAUAGAAUCAACACACACCAAGACUCUAAAAGGACAGCCGCUGCGGCGCUUCAUCGACGACAAACUAAAACCCAUAAAUAUAUUUUUCAUUUAUACACAAAAACACGGGAUAUAUAUUUACCACUGAUAAACAUAAAAACAUGUGACACAUAUUUGUCAUCAUUGUGGCUAAAAAAAUAUUAACAUAUUAUUUUUAACAAAACAAUAUUGACAUAUUUCAAAAUUCACGGUGCAUAGAUGCUUUUCAUCAAUAAAAAAAUAAAAAAAUUGAGAUUGAAAAAUAAUAGUUUAUCACUCGUGCAUUGCACAGGUUAACACACUAGUUAUACACACACACCAUUGAGUUUGUUUUUUUGUUGAUAAAAUGCACACGAUUGAGUUGGAAUUCCAGAUUUCACACUCAUUUACAUUUUUUUUGUGGUGGCGAACCCAAACCUUAUAUAUAUUAUGCAUUGUCUAUAUCAAUUGAGCUAAGCUCAUGACAACAUUAAAUGUGAAUUUAUAAUAACUAGAUUAUUUGAUAAAAAAUAAUUGAUUUUUAUUUUAAUUUUGCAAAAAUUAAUUGAAUAUGGGCUGUAAGAAUACACUUGGUCUAGUAUUUUGAGUAAAGAAAUUAUUGUGAUUAUCACUAAAUUUAACAUUCUAUUUCUUAAAAAUGACAUCCAUCGUUUAUUUUCAUAAAUGGAGAGGAUCCUUACUCAUUUAUUGAUGAGCUUGUAUUUAACCCGUUGGUUGACCAAAUUAAAACUAGAUUGUUAGGGUGGACGAAUAAAAACUUGUCUUUUCGAGGACGUAUCAUUCUAAUGAAACCUAUCAUGCCUUCUCUUCCGAUCUAUUUUUCUUCGUUCUUCAAGGCUCUCACAUGUAUAAUGACCUCUAUACAUUCUAUUUUAAAAUGUUUUUUUCUCUUCGGAGGGGGCAGAUUCUAGAAAGAUUCCAUGGGUCAGUUGGGAGUCUGUUUGUUUAGGUAAAAAAAAAAUGGUGGCUUGGGGAUUAGGAGGAUGAAGGAAUUCAAUUUAACAUUGUUAGAUAAAUGGUGUUGGAGGAUGCAUGUAGAUAGCGGAGGGUUGUGGUACGAAGUCCUAGCAACCCGUUAUGGUGAAUUUUUGGGGGUAACUUUUGGAGGGGGGAGGGAUAGUUCUGUGUGGUGGAGGGAUCUACGAAAGAUUUGUGAAGGGAUUAAGAUG
Molecule: long non-coding RNA, 73616 nt
Filed under: Medicago truncatula (barrel medic)
Lineage: Eukaryota; Viridiplantae; Streptophyta; Magnoliopsida; Fabales; Fabaceae
Description: long non-coding RNA (MTRU_LNC000225)
Source: RNAcentral